GAAUAGUGGAGGUGGGGUGGGUUGGAGAAGCAGCACAAACAGUAGACAAAGGUCUGGUUCUUGGGUGAGGCCCACUAAUAAGUGAUGGUGCUGCAGAGCUCUUCUUGACACAACAAAGCCCAGAUGAUCUCUGAACAAGUUCAGUUUUAUAAGACGACUCACAGAGGAAAGAAGAUAAAAAUGGAGAAGCAGUUAAUUAAAAAACGGUUUUUCUAUGGUGUGCCCAUGGGCACACAUUAAGCACCAAAAUUUAUGAAAUUGAAGGGUUUCUAUUGGCUUACCUUCUUUAAUAAUGAUGGACCCUCCUGCAGUUACAACAACCACACCAAUCAAAACCCUCCAUUUUUAUUAAUGUUAGUGCUUAGCAUGUGCCCAUGGGCACACACUAGCCAAACCGAUUAAAAAAAAUUAUUUUUCAAAAAUAUACAAGUGUAUGUUUGGUUGAGACAACUUCUAGCUUUUUCCGACAAAAAAUCCGCUUCUAUUUUUUGUAACAUGUUUGUGUAAAAAUUAAGAAUCACUUGUUAAGAAUGCUAAUUUUUAUUUCAGGACUUCUACUUAUUUCCCAAACAGUUUGAUCACUUAUAAGUCUUAAUUUAAUCCUCAAUUCUAGUUCAUUUAUUUAGUUUAAGCAAAAACACUUUUUUUAGAUUCAUCCAAACAGCCUUAUAUUAUAAAAAAAUAUUUUUAAAAAUACUAAUUAAUUUUUUUUUUUAAAUUACGAUUUACAACUAUUGCAACUAUAUUUGCAAACGAUCAACCACAAAUUUUAAUCAUAUUUACAAUCAAUCAAUCACAAAUGCAAUUUUACAUACUAUGUUACACAACAAGUUCGCUUCCACGCCUAAGAAAAAAAAAGAAAUCUACAUAAAAUAUACACACAUCUAAAAUGUCUAACUUGCUCGUAUCAAGCAGUUACUAAAAUCCUUUUUUCAAAACUCUAAAUUACUCUUGACAAAAUCCCCGGUUAUCAAAACCCCACCUUAUAAAUUCCUCAUUUAUUAAACCCUAUGAAUUCUUUUAUUUCCCAUCGAUCCCUAACAAUCUCACCUCUAUUUUCUACUUCUUCGAGCUCUAUACAUUGGCUAUGUUGCACUGUUAACUCUUCUAUACUCCCGUUCUCAAAGAAUGUCAAGCACAGAAGAUGUUUAGAUACGUGUCAUUGCCUGAUGAUUUGCGCACUGUAUCUUAUCGGAGUGAGACCCACGAGUUGCAUAGCACAAGAGAUUUGUAGGUACGUGUCGUUACAUGAUGAUUUGUGCAUUGUGUCUAAUUGGAGUGGGAUCCACAAGGUGCAUACGAGGAUUUAUGUAGCAUAAGGUUUAGAAGCAAGUAUUGUCCACGACAUAACUUGUAUAUGUGGUGAGAGAUGAUUGUGUCAACAUGAGUCUGCUUCCCAUUUUCUCUAAUCACCUCAUUUAGUUUAUGUUUUACAUCAGUUUUUUUCAAAAAUUAAAUCAGAGUUACAAUUUCAGUUGCAAAACGAUUUUUAAAAAUAAAACUUAGUAAAUAGUAAUUUUGGAAAUAAGUUUCAAAAUGAUAAUACUUCUAAAAAAGUAGUAUUUUGAAUAUUUUUUCUAAAAAAUUCACUUGAAAUAAUUUUAAUUAUCUUAAAUGACAUAGUAUCGAAAGAGUUCUUCAAAAUAAUUCAAGUUUUAUUAUAUUAUUUUAAUAUGUCUUAUUAAUUCUCUGAUCUAAUCGUUUCAAUUUAUCAUCAGUUAUGUGAUUAAAUAAUUCCCAUCAAUCGAAUCUUAUUUAUGCAAUUUAGAAUCCCCACCUCUAUUUAACAUAUUUCCUUUAGAUUGAUUAAUCCUGUAAAUUAAAUACCAUUCAAUAUCAUUAAAUUUGUAAAUCUAAAUCCAAAAUAUUUAUAACUUAAUGAUUUUAGUGUUAAAACUUUAUAAUAUAACAUAUUACACAACAUGUGUCUAUAUAAUAUAUAAUAUAAAUGAAAUUAAUGAAGGUAUGAUAUAUAACAGAAACAAAUUCAUCCUUUGUCCAUCAUCCUCAAAAUCAGUGGUAAGUCCAUUUUUUUUAUGAUAUUGUCAUUGUUUCCACUAAUUGUAUCAUUCAAGUAUUGAAUUAGUUGCUCUUUCUUUUUCGCAGUUUCACUCGGGCAAGGAGUUUGUUAACAAUUUUGCAGUAUCAGACGAAACCUUCCAGCUUAUUGAAGGUAAACUUUAUACUAUUAGUACAAUUAAUUGGAUGAGUAGAAAUUUGGGCUGAUUGAAGCAAUAUUAUAUUCAUCAUUACUGUCAGUGGCGGAUCUAGGAUUUUGACAAAGGGGGCUUCACAAGUAUUAAAAAAAAAUUACAAAAGUCUUAAAGAUCUCAAAUACAUAAUAUUCCCUAAUUAUAUUUAUACAUUGUCACGAGGAGGUAAUUGCAUUCUUCGAGAUGCCAUUUUUUGAAAACGAUCUAAAAUUAAUUCACUAUUGAUCUUUGCAAAUACAUCCUUCUCGAUGUAUACCACCAAGCUAUCAUUCAUCCAUUCAUCUCCCAUUCGAUUUCGCAAAUCAGUCUUGACGAUAUUCAUUGCAGAAAAUAUUCUUUCAACGAGAGCAGUUGCCACAGGUAGAAGUAAUGCUAAUUCAGUCAAACGAUACACCAAUGGAUAUGUGCAAGACUUCUUAGUAGCUGCCAAUUUUUUUGCAAGAGUUCCCAAAUCUCCGAUACUAGAAAAUUCUUGAUUUCUCUUGACAUCAUAAAUAUACAUGCCUAAUUGAUUGCGAAUCAUUAGAAGUUCUGUCCAUGAAAAAUCCUCUGGAUAAAGAUUAGCAAGAUGCACUAGUUUAUCAGCAUCUAAGGCAGAAUAUGAAUCUCUAGGAUCAAGACAAGCUAGAAGCAAGUCUGUAGUUGUUUCUGGAAACCGGUUAUCCAACUCUUGUGAAAUUAAAUCAACCACCUAAAUUGCAAAUGAUAAAUAGUUAUAUUAAUAAAGAGGUAAUGUAUUGAGAAAAACACAAUUGAAAUGGACUAGGUAAAUUACCUCACAAAAAUUUCAACCCGAUAAUGAUGAUAUAUAGUUGGUAACACUUUGUCCAUCUCUUCUCAUUCGGGUACGAGAUUGUAUGAUAUCAUCCAUAUUACUUGUUGGCUUAAAAAGAAAGCAACAAAAACAAUAAGCUGCAUCCUUGAAUAUACUAUAUUCCAACCAAUCAUGUAAAUCAAACCAAUCCGCUUGAAAAGACCUUUUUAAUUCACCAAAUUGACUUUUUGGAAAAUUAUGUACUCUUGGUUGACAAGGACCUUUAGAUAUGUACUCUCUCCUAACGCGAUCACUAACCCCAACAUACCAUCUUUCAAUUGGUUUCCGUUCUCCUGGAUCACUUUUAAUAUCAUUUAGAUCAAACUCAAGUGUAGAAUUGGAGUUUAUUUCUACAUUUAAUCUAGGAGAGGGACUACUACCACCACUUGAUCAAUCUAAUGAAUUUCUUGGCCUUUAAGUAAAAUAUUUAGCAAUUGACAUUGAGCCUACAUAAAUUUUAACACUUAAAUAUUCAGUUCACAAUUAAUCCCUAAUUUUAACAUAUACAAAAAAUNNNNNNNNNNNNNNNNNNNNNNNNNNNNNNNNNNNNNNNNNNNNNNNNNNNNNNNNNNNNNNNNNNNNNNNNNNNNNNNNNNNNNNNNNNNNNNNNNNNNNNNNNNNNNNNNNNNNNNNNNNNNNNNNNNNNUUUUGUUUAGUGAAUGGGCUGGGCUAAUAAUAUAAAAGUAUGGGCUGAAAUUGUUGGGUGGGCUCACUUCCAAAACCUAAAAAAUUUAUACUACAAUAUGAAUUAACUAUGGGCUCACGGGUGUGCUUAAGCCCCAGAGCCCCCAUGGUGUAUAUGCCACUGAUUACUGUUAUUGUUAUUUUUAAUAAAUUUUUGCUAACAAUUGUAAAUGAUUUUGUAGUCUCUAAUGCCAGAUUUGAAUCUUCCCUACAAGGAGAAGGAAGAAAGCAGUGAUAUUGCUUCCAAGCUAAUUGCUUUCGGCUGCAGAGCGUGCUAUAUUUUCGUAAUAGUACCUGAAAACAAUCAAAAGUGCCCCAAGUGUCGUCAAAGCAUCACUCUGUUUAAUGAUUUUGCUAGAACCCAUACGUGGGCAAAACUAGAAAAGGCCUAUAAAUCAAAAUACUUAUUUUGAAUAGGCCUUUCCUAGUUUUGCCUACGGGCUCUAGAAAAACCAUUAAACAGAAUGGUGCCUUGACGACACUUGGGGCACUUUCGAUUGUUUUCAAGUACUAGUGCGAAAAUGUAGCACGCUCUGCAGCCAAAAGCAAUUAGCUUGGAAUUCCUUCUCCUUGUAGGGAAGAUUCAAAUCUGGCAUUAAAACCUACAAAAUCAUUUACAAGUGUUAGAAAAAAAUAUUAAAAACAAGAAUUACAAUAAUGAUAAAUAUUAUAUUGCGCACAGUUGCUUCAAUCAGCUCAAAUUUCUACUCAUCAAAGUAAUAGUACUAACAAUAUAAAGUUUACCUUCAAUGAGGAUGGUUUUGUCUGAUAGGAUAGUUAACAAACUCCUCGCUUGAGUAAAAAUGCAAAAAAAAAAGAAGAGAGCAACUAGUCUGAUACUUCAUCAAUGAUACAAUUAGUAGAAGCAAUCAUAAUACCAUAAAGGAAAUGGACUUACCACUGAUUUUGAGGAUGAUGGACCUGUGUCUACCGGAAAAAGGGAGCCAGCUUUGUCAGACAGCUUAAACAAAGCCUCUGACGCAAGUUGUCGAAAUUCUAAAUUCCUUGAUUCUAAAAGCUGAAGUAGAAUUUUUAGUCCUGUAACAUUAAGAGUGCACAACCUAAUGAAUUACUGUUGUUAUUAACAAGAAAUGAUUUUCGGUCAUCAGGUGAACAAAAAAAAAAUCGAUAUUGAAUAUCUGUCAUAAUUAUGUAAAGCCUCACAAUCAGGUUGUUGACAUUUCUAUGGAGCAUGAUGUCAAGAAAUUUGGGAGUCUACCAGGGAUAAUCAAAAUUAGGCGGGGUGGGGUGUUAAAAAUAUAUAUUAUAGUUUUAGGUGAGAUCUUUUUUUCCAACGGAUAUUGUUAAAUCCAAAUAAACAUAAUCAAAUAUCAUGUUGCGUGAUAUUAUUAGUAAUAUGAUAGAACUGUAUAAAGGAAAUGUACUUAAUUAAGUAGUUCUUAUUAAAAAAAAUGCUUAUAGAAGGUUUAUUUUAGGCAACCUAAUUAGAUCAAUUAUAAAAUAUAAAUAUAUCUUAUCUGUUACAUAUAUUAGAUUAUUAAAAUAUAAUGUAACAUGCAAUAGGGAGAAAUUGUCCACUCGACCGGAUAUACAUAUUUCAAAAAAAAUAAAGUUAUAUGAUCAACAAUAAACACAUUAAACAUACUUUGAAAAAAUAGUUAUAUGGUCAACAGUAAACAUACUAAACAUAGAACAUAAAACAAGACAACUACUUUACUCACUUUGGCUAUGUAAGAUCGCCCAUGUACUAUAGUUCAUCUGCUGCAACUUUCAAUUGAUGAUGCCCAUCUGACAAAAACACAUGUAGAUUUUUAAAUUAUAUAUAUAAAUAACAAAUAUAAUUAACAAGCUCGGUAUAAAUCUUAAAAAUCGAAAACUUACAUGAUAUGCGGAUGAAGAAUACUUCAUGUUUCGGAGCAUUUUCUUCAUUGUUUACUGUAUUUAUAAAUUAUUAUUUCACAAAUAUAUUGAUCCAAACAAAUUAAUAUGAUAUAUGAGCUUUUUAAUUUAUACUUCAAAUAUUGAUCUCAACUCGAGCCUCAUUAUAUUCAAGACCUAAUAUGAUUAAAAUCCAAAUUGGUUCAAUUGAUAAUAUCAAGAAUAACCCUUGGGUUCAAAAUCGAAAUUUAUACAAAAUCCAUGUAUAUUUAAAAAGCUUGAGAUUUUUUUUUAAUGGUGUACAUACNUAAAGGAAAUGGACUUACCACUGAUUUUGAGGAUGAUGGACCUGUGUCUACCGGAAAAAGGGAGCCAGCUUUGUCAGACAGCUUAAACAAAGCCUCUGACGCAAGUUGUCGAAAUUCUAAAUUCCUUGAUUCUAAAAGCUGAAGUAGAAUUUUUAGUCCUGUAACAUUAAGAGUGCACAACCUAAUGAAUUACUGUUGUUAUUAACAAGAAAUGAUUUUCGGUCAUCAGGUGAACAAAAAAAAAAUCGAUAUUGAAUAUCUGUCAUAAUUAUGUAAAGCCUCACAAUCAGGUUGUUGACAUUUCUAUGGAGCAUGAUGUCAAGAAAUUUGGGAGUCUACCAGGGAUAAUCAAAAUUAGGCGGGGUGGGGUGUUAAAAAUAUAUAUUAUAGUUUUAGGUGAGAUCUUUUUUUCCAACGGAUAUUGUUAAAUCCAAAUAAACAUAAUCAAAUAUCAUGUUGCGUGAUAUUAUUAGUAAUAUGAUAGAACUGUAUAAAGGAAAUGUACUUAAUUAAGUAGUUCUUAUUAAAAAAAAUGCUUAUAGAAGGUUUAUUUUAGGCAACCUAAUUAGAUCAAUUAUAAAAUAUAAAUAUAUCUUAUCUGUUACAUAUAUUAGAUUAUUAAAAUAUAAUGUAACAUGCAAUAGGGAGAAAUUGUCCACUCGACCGGAUAUACAUAUUUCAAAAAAAAUAAAGUUAUAUGAUCAACAAUAAACACAUUAAACAUACUUUGAAAAAAUAGUUAUAUGGUCAACAGUAAACAUACUAAACAUAGAACAUAAAACAAGACAACUACUUUACUCACUUUGGCUAUGUAAGAUCGCCCAUGUACUAUAGUUCAUCUGCUGCAACUUUCAAUUGAUGAUGCCCAUCUGACAAAAACACAUGUAGAUUUUUAAAUUAUAUAUAUAAAUAACAAAUAUAAUUAACAAGCUCGGUAUAAAUCUUAAAAAUCGAAAACUUACAUGAUAUGCGGAUGAAGAAUACUUCAUGUUUCGGAGCAUUUUCUUCAUUGUUUACUGUAUUUAUAAAUUAUUAUUUCACAAAUAUAUUGAUCCAAACAAAUUAAUAUGAUAUAUGAGCUUUUUAAUUUAUACUUCAAAUAUUGAUCUCAACUCGAGCCUCAUUAUAUUCAAGACCUAAUAUGAUUAAAAUCCAAAUUGGUUCAAUUGAUAAUAUCAAGAAUAACCCUUGGGUUCAAAAUCGAAAUUUAUACAAAAUCCAUGUAUAUUUAAAAAGCUUGAGAUUUUUUUUUAAUGGUGUACAUACUCGUAGAUGAAUUGUAUCGAAAUACAAUAAACCGCAACCGGGAUUUUUUUUUUUCAAAAAAGUUUAUCAUCUAACCGAAAGUCAUGCAAGCAUAACUCCGGACGCUUAGACAACAAAGCUUAAAUGAAUGAGAAAAGAAUACCAUGCACGUCUCGCUUCCACAGUAUCCUGAGAAAAAAAACAAUCAAACAAAACAUAAAUCAAUAUACAAGAAAAAUCUAAUAAAAACAAAACCAAAAGAGUUUAUAUAUCAAGAAUAGAGAGAGAGAAUAUAUAUAUAUAUAUAUAUAUAUAUAUAUAUAUAAUGUAGAAUUAUUAAUUAAUAUCUAACCAAAGGAACACAUUAAAAUUUAAUAAUUUAACUGAGGAAUAAAAAUUGAGUUUAACAUGUAAUUAAAUAUAUUAAAUGUAAUGACCAUCAAAAUGGUACUCCCUCCGUCCCAAAAUAGUUGUCACAUUUGGUUUUGUGCCGGUCAAAUUGACUAAAGUUUGACUGAAAUUUAUUAAUAUUUUAUCAAUUGACAAAUUAAAAAAAAUAUGUCAUCGGAAAUAACUUUUAAUCUACUUUAAGAUGUAAUUUUCAGUUUUUUAAAAUAAUGAGUAAUUGACUUAUAAUAUUUAGUCAAAACUUAGUCAAUUUGACCAACAAAAAUAGAAAUGUGACAACUAUUUUGGGACGGAGGGAGUAACAAAAGCCAUAAAAAUGGCACUAAAGGCCAUUAAAGGCAUAAAAUGUCAUAAUAAUGACCCCCAUAAAUGGUACUAAAUAUUCAUAAAGAAUAUUUAUCCAAUCAUAAUCUAAAACGUAACUAUUAUAAUUAAAACUAAUAAAGACAAAUAAUGAACAGCCAAUUAAAGUCAGUCCAAAUUAAAAUUAAAUUAUUGUCUAAAAAUCAAAUAAUCCUAAUAUAUUAUGAAUUCAUAAAAUUUAAAAUUUAAAACCUUUUAAAAUCAUGAAUAAUGACCAUCAUAAAUGUUAUUAAAUAAUCAUAAAGAAUAUUUAUCAAGAUAUAUUCCUUUCUAAAAAUUAAUCGAAAAAAUUUGAAUCCUUGCAAUUAAAAAAAAUUUUGCACAUAAAUAUACAUACAAAUAUAAUAUAUAAAAGCAACGUCAUAAUUAAAAAUAAAUUGAUAUCGAAACAAAAUACUCAACAAUAGAACAUGCACCUAAAAACAUGUUAAAAAACUAAAAAAUUAAUCUAGAAUAUCAAAUCACACACUUAACAAACCCACACAAUCAAGAACAUUAAUAUUUGAGGGCGUUAUUUGUGUCUUAAUUAAGGGCAUUAAUAUUUUAUUAAUUGUGCCUUAAUUAAGAGUUUAAUUGUCUCAAUUAUGAUUUAUCAUAAUUGUGUAAUUUUUUAUCACCACAUGCAUAUACACGCGAUUUUGUUAAUAAUUAUUUAUUGGAUAUAUUUUUUAUUUUUAUUUUUAUAAUAUAUAUAAUCUGUUAUAUAUAUCGACUUAUAUUCUUCUUGUUUCCUCUGUUUUAUUUUCAGGACUCUUGGAAGAAGACGGAUUUUCUUUUCGGACAUUAAAGUCUUAUUGUCUAAAUUUCCCCGGUCAUCUUGUAUGUCCGACGGUUAGAUAAUAAGCUUUCUUGAAUGAAAGAAUUAUCUCGGUGAAUUGCCGGUUUAUAUCUGUGAGAUUUAUUCUCAAUUUCAAAAAAAAAAAAAAAAAAAAAAAAAAAAAAAAAAAAAAAAAAGAACACUUAUCGAAAAUCUAUAACAACCUAAUUUCAAAUCGAUAUUCCGGUCAACCAUAACAAAAUCUGGCCAAGUUAAAACAUGUCAGAAAAACCCGGAUAAUCAUUAUAAACUUAAUCGAUAAAACUAAAACAAACAGAACACACAACAAACAAUCCAGAUCUGGCACGCUAACAUAUAUAUACAAAUUACAACGAAAAAAAAAAAAAUAGUUAGAUCAUCAAAACCAGUAGUAUAAGCACAUUUAAACAAGAUUUAUUAUCUAAAAAACAACUUGAAAAAGAAUAACAAAUCGUACAAAGAUCUCAUAUUAAUCAACACAAUCCAAAAAUAAUUUACUCUACUGAACGAAUUAAAACAUGUACUAUGAUCCACAAUGUAUAUCAAACAGUUACAAAUCAAUCAAACAUUACAAUAAACACGUAUAAUCAAGAGCAUACAUGCGUUAUACGGAGGAAAAAAAGGAUCAAACACAAUAACAUGUGAUAAGCCAACACAUAUAAAUGACAAUACAUGUAUAAUUGAAGAGAGAGAUAAGAAGUACUGACCUAAUCGGAGCGAUAGAGCAGGAUCACAUAGAAAUUUCUCGCUUGCAAGGCGCAAAUGCUUUCGAUCUAUUCACAAUCAAAGUUUUAAAUACAUCACAACUUAACAUUCGCCGCAGAAAAGAACGAUGACCAGAGUCGAAAUGCUUCGAGAGAUUUAAAAUAUAUUAACAUCAAAAUUUGGGAUAUCCAAGAAACAAAACAAAACAAGUAUCCAUCUAUUCAAAGAAUUACCUAAUAUGUAAAUUAAUAAUUUAAAGAAUAACUUACCGAUUUGAAUUAGAUAAAGUCUUGAUCCCAAGUAUUUUUGCACGAUAUCCAUAUUUAUAAACAAAGCAACACUCUGAAUUUAAUUUGUAUAAUUUUGUUGGUGACAACGUUCGUUGUUAUAGGUGUGUUUAUCUAUUCAGAGUAUAAAAUUUUUAGAUGAGAAGAUGAGAUGGGAGAAAGGAGAAAUCAUGAGAGGCGGCCACGAAUGAAAUAGGGUAAAAGAUGGUACAAUAUUUAUAGGAAAAUUAUGUAUGAAAUAAUAUGAAAAAACCCAUUUUAAAAACAUAUAGGCCCAAUCUUUUUUUUUGACAGACAUAUAGGCCCAAUCUGGAUGAACAAAAUUUUAUAAUUACCAUCAAAAAAUUAUAAUAACUAACUUUUUGAAUAAUUAUGGGCUUUAAUUGUACCUACUUGUAAUAAAUUUAUAAUAUAAGUAACUAGUCAAUACAAUUGUAUAUUGUGAUGACAUUAUAAUAUUUAUUUUUUUUUUGUAAAUUUCUAAAAAAAUAUUUAUCAAGUUUAUAAUUUAAUCAAAAACUCAAUGAAAAAUUAUAGAUAAUACAAUAUAUAAAUAGAAAAAUAAUAAUUUAUUAAUGAGGUUUUUCACAAAUACCCGAUUCUCGAAAGUCUUUUGCAAAAAUACUGUUAUUUUUUUAAAAAAUUUGCAAAUAUAAAUUUUUUAAAUAUAUAAAAAUACCAUAUUUCUGAAACUUCUUUACAAAAAUACAAAGUUUGCACUUAUAACCGUAUCUGUAAUCACAAAUACAACUUAAUAAAAUGUUGAUUUUUUAUAUGUAUACACACACACAAAAAUAUAUAUANUAUAUAUAUAUAUAUAUAUAUAUAUAUAUAUUGACGAAAAGCUAAAAGUUCAAUAAAAUACCGAAACCUAGUGGGGACAAACCCCGAACUAUCAACUACAACCUGAUUGUGAAACAAAUAACCCGAACUAUAAACUACAACCUGAUUGUGAAACAAAUAACGGACUAGCAAACAGUCAUUUUGUUUUCAGAUCCUUAACGCAUAGAAUAUUUAAAUUCUUUUAAUCUAAGAAGUAUCACAAUCGUAUCUCUGGUAAUCCAACCUACAUCACCUUUGAACAUAGUAGCAUCGCAAUUGACAUUGAGAUAAGCAUCAUCCUCAACAUGAACAGUUUUUCGCCGUGAAAGGAAAACUCUUGCGAUAUUCGCCACCGUACCAUAUUUGAUGUGAGUCUUACGGAUCGCCCAAAAUACAAUAUAAGCCAUUAUUAGAAAAAUUACCAAUACCCUUAACAAAUCACACAAAACAUCAACAUUCCAUUAGAAGCGUAACGUCUGAUGAUGUAGGAUUGUUAACAAACUCCUCAGCCCAAGUAAAUCUGCAAAAGAAACAAUGGUGUUUACAAAUCAUAUUGAUCCAAUGCUUAAUGUCCUCAACACAGAACUAAAAAUGAAAAACUAUGUCUUUUGGCAUGAUUUGGUUUGCGAGACUAGCUACUAGCAUUAAGUAUAUAUACUUAAAAUUUAAAACUGUGCUAAAUCUGUUGAGGCAUGCAAGUAUACUAGCGAAGAUAACUUAAUAAAAACCUAAAACAUAAUUAGGUUUGUACAUCAAAAACAUGUUCUGCAGUUAACAGCUCUAGUACUGAAAGCAAACAAGCUAAUAUUUAGAGUAAACUAAAAAAGAGCAGCUAGUCUAAUAUAUACUUCAAUGAUGCAAUUAGUAGAAACAAUCACAAUACCAAACAAUUAACAAAUGGACUCACCGAUGAGUUUGAGGAUGUAGGACUAGUGUCUACUGGAAAAAGGGAGCCCGCUUAAAUUUACCGCUGUUUUUAAUGAAAAUUGAUUCUUGGUCUUCAGGUGAACAAGAGCCAGUGCAAUCCUCCGCUUGAUAUACCACUUGCAAUACUAGGGGGUGUUUGGAUUAAGGUUGGGAAUGGGAAUCGGGAAUGGGAAUGAGAAUGGUAUGAUAACCCAAGGGAUAGGAAGCGUAUCAUUUAACCACCCAAAAGGAUUGGGGUUCCCAUUCCAUAACACCAAAUAACUAAUCCAAACACUUGUCAUGGGAUUAAGGUUCCGAUUCCCAUUAACCGGGCUCAUUAUCGCUUUACUGCUGCAUAUAUUGUCUACAAUUAUAGAGAUUUUCCUGUCCUAUUCUUAUUACAUUAAGUAUCUUUAGGGUUAGAACAAACAUAUAUAGUACAGAAGUAGUGGCUAAAAUGUGAGAAACAUAAUGUCAUGGAAUGUACGUAAGACGCAUAAUGUACUAUACUCUAAUUUUUAUAUAUAGUUUCCAGUACAGGUAGGAGAAAAAUACUUGAUUAAUUAAGGAAUUCUCCGCCUUCAAGUUUCUGAACUCCUCCAGCGGUGAUAAAGUUCACAACAUUAUCCUAUGAAUUAGUACAAAGAGCAGUGAUAAUACUUAUAGUACCAAUUACUACCUCCAUCCCAAAUUAGAUGUCCCCGUUGAAUUUGGGCACGUAACUUUAGGUGCAUUGACCGUCUACUUCCGAAAUUUAUUUUUUUAUUUUUUCUUUUAUAAAUGAAAAUUUCAUAUUUUAAUUUUUAUUUGCAAAAAUAAAAUUUUAAAAAUAAGUCACGUAUCUAUGCGGUUAAUGAGCCUUAAAUUGUGUGCACAUAAAGAACGAAUGCUGCAUUUUGUUGCAUAUGUUUUAUAGAUGUGUAAUACAAAGAAAAUACCAGUUGUACAAACUAAAAAUCGAUUUUUUCCAAAAUGAAAUAUAUUACUUGUUUUGAAAGAAAAAGUUACAUGAGCACAUUAGUACCAACUUACACUACUGAGACAUGUUUCAUUUUGCCCUGUAACCAAUGCUAGAAAUUUGAUCGCUACUACGGUUAUGAUUUAUCGGACAACCCUAGCUAAAAAAGGUACUUUGGACAUUUCAUAUGGUAUUUUCUGUAAUCAAAGCCUAAUUUUCACUGUGCUCAAUAUUGUAAGACAUUUUAGGUGAGCAUGGGUUGAGAAGAGGCAAUGCAAAUGCGAAAUGAAUAUAUUUUCCCGAGUGCUAGCUGCAAUUAUGUGUAACUAACAUUUUAAGCUUAGUGUGCAAGUUCUAAAAAAAUGGUAUAUAGUUGUUAGUACCUUAGUAAUGUUAUGACAGGUUGCAAUGCUCCUGCCUCAAGAGAGCCAUUUUUAUGUUUCGAGGGGACAAGUUGAUGACAUGCUCAAUCACGCUAACCUAUCAAAACCGCCAACUACUUUUUAAUUUGAAAGAUCUGAGCUGAAUUUGUAGCUAGGAUUUAUAAACUGAAAUGUAUACCACAAAAUUUCAGGCACCUAAAAUUUCACCCUCCAACUUACCGCUUAUUUCUGUAUGGUAACAUCCUCAGAGCAAAGCAACAAAGUAAGGGCAGGUAAAGCAUUGCAUUCUACAAUCUGAAAAAUAAGGAGAGAAUUCAAAUUAACUGUUGUCAUAUAUAAAUUAUAAGUAGUUUUAAUUGAAUUAUGUAGUACCUCAGCGGUAAUUAAUUUACAAACCUGAUUUUUGUUUUCAUGAUUUUCAAAAGAUAAAGUUCUUAACGCCCCAGCAACUGCUCUCUGCAAAUCAGUGACAAACUGCAGUACAAAUCUAUAUAACUAAAUUACAACGCUGACCACUCUCUAUAACAUGGUACAGAAAUAGAGCGCCAAAAAAAAUGCAGCACAAGGUCCAUUGAAGAGAUAGAUCUUAAAUUAAAAAAAUGAUCACAAAUCAACGAUUAGUAAAUAUGCAAGGUAUUGAAUAGUUGCUAAUUCAAAGUGGACAGCGGUUUUCACAUUUUCCUGUCCUACUGAUUAUAUAAUAAAAGUGCAACUUUUUAGUCUCUUUGUAAUAAAAGUAGUGUAAUUUUAAUUUUCAAUAUUGUGAGUAAAAGGUUACAUUUUUAUCGUAUACUAUGACAUUAGUGGCGAAUAUUAAAUGUAGACAAUAAGAAAAUUAAGGUAGAAUAUAUAAGAUAAAAAUGGAAAAUAGUCGUGCAUCGCAAGAGCUUGAUUCACAUAAUAAUGAUGUGCGCGGGAUGAUACACUACGUGUGGGUGAUGCAUGGAAGGGAAAAGAAAAAUGACACGCAUUGUGCACGAACUUAAUUCUCGUAAUAAUGAUGUGAGUCGGGAUGAUGCACAUGUGAGUGAUGCAUGGAAGGGAAAAGAUAAUAUAGAAUUAAGGGGGAGAUUGUUGGAGUUUAAUUCUAUAUUCAUAUGUUUUAGUUAUUUAUUUAGAUUUAUUUAGAUAAUGUUUUGUACGUUUGUUAUUGUCAGCAAAGACUAGGUCUAGCCAAAAAAAAAAACAUGUUAAAUUAAACUACUACAAGAAUUAUAACUGAAGAAUGAUAAAGAUAGAAGAGAUGUGUAUGUACAAGCCCGAAAUACUCUCUAAGACUACAUUGUAUUAGCUUGUGUUGUGUUUUUUUGAACGUGUGUACAUGCAAGAUAUAAAUAGAACAAACAACUAAUGUGGUAGCUGUUAAAAAAAAACAUGUUGAAAUUAAACUACUACAAGAAUUAUAACUGAAGAAUGAUAAAGAUAGAAGAGAUGUGUAUGUACAAGCCCGAAAUACUCUCUAAGACUACAUUGUAUUAGCUUGUGUUGUGUUUUUUUGAACGUGUGUACAUGCAAGAUAUAAAUAGCUGUUAUCAAGGAAGCAGUUCCUGAUAUAACUCCACUACUCUAUCAACAUCAACUACUCCAUGCAGCUCCUAAAACUUCUCUACUGCUAAUAGACCUAUUCUUGUUGCUAUUUACACGCACUUAACAGGUACAAUUUAUUUAACAAAUAAAUAACAUAAGUUUAGAUUAAAUAAUAACCCAACAAUCUGCCCCUUAAUCUAAACUUGUCUUAUGCAAUCCUCCAGCCCGUAUGGCUAUUGAACUGAGCCUGUAUGGCACCUUGAUUCUUUGCCCACUACUUCCUUCAUGGCUGCUGUGUUGCUUACCAACUCAACUCCGGUUCAUCAUUCUCUGUCACAGCACCUUCUCAUGUCCUCUUGAACUGUUAUCAAGGAAGCACUUCCUGAUAUAACUCCACUACUCUAUCAACAUCAACUACUCCAUGCAGCUCCUAAAACUUCUCUACUGCUAAUAGACCUAUUCUUGUUGCUAUUUACAUGCACCUAACAGGUACAAUUUAUUUAACAAAUAAAUAACAUAAGUUUAGAUUAAAUAAAAACCCAACAUGAUUCACAUAAUAAUGAACUACAUCAGGAUGAUACACAUGUGAGUGAUGCAUGGAAGAUAAAAGAAAAAUGACACUUAUUGGGUGAAAAUUUACAUUAUACUAAAUGCGCGUAACCUAAAAAAUAAGUACUAAAAAAAAUUAACAAAAAGAUUUACUUUCAAUGGUAGAUGUGCCAGUCGACAAAUGCCUCAGCUGCACAAUUAAGUGUGCAAGCUCCUCUACCACAAAAACAUAUAAAACCUUUAAUCUAAAAAAUCUUAUAUACAUGUCAAACAUAAAAUUAAAUUAAAUAAUUCAAAAUAAAGGAGAAUUUUGAUAAUCUAUCAUUUAUUCUUAGUCCCGGCAAAAUAGAUAUAUAUAUAUAGUAUAUUUAUAAUCUCGAUAAACUAUGAAUUUCUAGUUUCUACAAAUCAACAAAAUUCUCUGUAUAUUGAAAUUAUUAUUUUAAAAACAUUUUAUUGUCAAACCAAUAAAAUUAGAACAUCACACAGAAAAUAAAAGAAAAUCUAUAAAUCUACCAAUUUUUGCGCAAUGGCCAACUUUUCAAUAGCUUUCUUGAGGGCAUCUCUAUGCACGACCCUUAGUGAAGAAAAACAAUCAUUUAGAAGAUGCAGAUAUUUGGGUAGAUUUUUACGGUCACUGUUGUUAGAAGCAGUGGCGGAACCAGGACUAAAAGUUAGGGGGCUGAAAUAUUUUUUCAUAUAUACUUGCAUAAAUAGAUUUCUCAAUAUAUAUCAUCAUACUAUCAUUCAGUCUCCCAUCCUAUCACGCUGAUAAGUCUUAAUUGUUUUUAUAGCAGAAAAAACUAUCUCAACAAUAGCAAUGACAACGGGUAAAACUAGAGUUAACUCAACCAGAAGAUAAACUAAGGGAUAAACAGUGUGUCUGUGUGUCUUAACCGUCAUGACCAGAAGAUUUCCUAUACUUUGAAGUCCAGAUUAAUCUUUAUUCGCUCUCACAUCAUAGAUAAACUUGUCUAACUUAUUUGAUAACGACUCCAGGUCUGGUAAAGAGAUAUCCUUUGGAUAAAAUUGUGCAAGGCAGAAAAUUAAUUCCUAGGAUCCAAAGAGCAAAUAUAAAUUAGUAGCUCUAUAUAUGUUACCUAGCAGAUAUAGAUAGAGAGCGCAUGUAGAGAAUAUUGUUGGAGAUAUUGUGUAAUUUACUUCUUAAAUAGUUAAGAGUUGAUUGUUUAUAUCAUUAUUAGAGAAAAGUUAAGGAGUUUGUUGGAGUUGCUCUCAGUUUGAAUAUAUUUGUUAAUUAGACUAAGUGACUUUUCUUUUCCUUUUUUUUUCCAAUAAGUCCCUCUCUAUGAUAUUUAUAAUUUAGCGGGGGCUAAAAAAAAAUAUAUUGACAUCACACUAAUUCAGCGGGGGUUGAAAAAAAAAUAUACAUUGUUUUUUCGAGGUUAGGGGGACUCUAGCAUCCUCUAGCCCCCCUCUGGUUCCGCCACCGGUUAGAAGAGCUUUUUUCUAGCAAGCUCUUUUCACACUUUCUGGGAUCGGUGUCGUGCAUGGUGAAAUCAAGCUGUGUGUAUGAGAGGAGAUAAUAGUGAGGAGUAUUAUGGUAAAGAGGUGAGUGAUUAUAUUAUUAGUUUUGCAUUAUAUUUGCUUAAAAGUUAUCAUCAUAAUCAUCUUAAUCUUUGGAGAUUUUAUAAGAUUUAGUAAUUUAUAUAUGAUAUCCAUAUUAAUUACUCCCACCGUCCCAUUUUAUGUGAGCUUAUUUGACUUUCAUGAAGAUUAAGAAAAAACAGUAAAAAAGAGUAAAUUUACUUGAAAAGUGGGUAAAGUGGUAGGACUUAUCAAAAUUUAAUAAUAAAUUUGAGAUAUUGGAGGAAGGUAGCGGGUGUAGUGGUGUAUAUUAUAUAUAUAUAUUUCCACUCUAUCUUGGGGAACACUCUUAAUGAGUAAUCUAAAUUAAAAUUGUUAGUACGUAAAUAAGUUAUUUUUGACAAUAAAUCAUUAUCAUUUCAAUAAAACUGUUUUGAAAUAAAACUUCUAUUUUACGUGGCUAGGACCCACCCGUGUGGGGUCCACGUGGGUGGGACCCACCUCCAGCUCAGCCUUAGAUCAGAAGCUCCACAUGUAUAAUUGAUUAAUUACUCAAUCAAAAUAUAUAAAUAUAUAAUUAAUAAGAAUAUAUAAAUAGAUAAUUACGUGUAGGUCCCACAUUAAUUAAUUCUUUAUCCAAAAGCAAAGGUAACACUAAAGUAAUGUUAAUUUUGUUUAAUUUAGUGUUUAUAUAUGACGGAGUAUCAUAAAUGUUUCUUCAAGAAAAAGCUUUAUAAGAGCAUCGCACUAGUUAUAAGUUAUUAUAUAAUUGAAGUCAAAAUAUUAUUCUGGUUUGUCGGUUAAUUUUAACUUAACACAUUUGUACAAUAUUUUAAUAUAUUAAUUAUGAUAUAUGUAUUAUUGUGAGUGAUUUUGAUGCGAAGUCUAACCGACUUGAGAUAAAAUGUCAUAAAAUUACACGUAACAAUAAAAUCCACAAUGUCAUAUAGUUCAAAGAAAUCCUUCAAUUUUGAAUACCAUUUAAAGAAUCAUAAUUGAAUACUACUAGAUUUUUAGUUACACAUUUUUUAAAAUCCAAAUUUAAGGAUUUCAAAAGAUCCGAACUCCAAUCCAAAUAUUAAAAUAUUGAAUAUUGUCACGUGUGUCUAUUUUACUAGUUAAUAUUUUUUAUAUAAGUUUGAAUCAUUAAUUUUUUUAAUAGGUUGCUGGUAGGACUUGAAUUUUUAAUCUUUCUAAAAAAUUCAUAAAUAUCAUAAGAUUAAAUAUUGUGUAAUGUGAAAUCUAACCAUUCUAAUUUAUUAAAUAUAUAUUUGAGAUCUAACGGCUAUAAAUAAUGAUACCAAAUUAUAAAUCAACGGACAAAAUUUUUGUAUGUUUGGGUUUAAGAAAAUAUAAUAUAAAUAUAUAGGCUAAUUUUCACGUAGAAACCAAUUAUUAAUUCAAAUAGGAAACUAAUCCCACAAUUAAUGUGACAAUUCUAGAAAUCACUCCUCGAUAUAAUCAGCCCUCUCAUCUUUUUUUUUUUUAUUUUUUUUAAAGAAUAUCAGCCCUCUCAUCUUAUGAGGAGGCCAAAAAUGUAUUUAUGUUUGUAUGAAAAUAAUUAAGAAUCAUGCAAGCAAAAGCCAGAAGACAAAGAUUUGUGAGUAUGUGACGGUUAAACACUACUACAAAAACUGGCUUAGACAUCGGCUAAAAACCGAUGUCUAUUGAAAAUAGGACCGAUGUCUUCGCAUGUGAUGUAAAAGGUAGGGGUCUUAGACAUCGGUUUUUAACCGAUGUCUAUAACCACCUUUCACAACGGUUCUAAUUAAGAACCUGAUGUGGUAUUGCAUUUUUAGCAUCAGUUACUUUAUUUUAACCGGUAUCUAUAGUUAUACUUUACAUCAGCUUUAUUAACAACUGAUGUAUAUUUACUUACCUUACAUCAGCUACUUUAUAUUGGUUGGUGUCUAUGUUUGUCUUUUAAUUCAUUUUCUUUAAAUAACCGAUGUAUAUAUGUAUAUUAAUUUUUAAGCCAUGAAUCACCUGCUUUGUAUUCUGCCAAAAUUCCAAAACUAAAACACUCAUAUUACCAAACCAAAAUACCAAAACUGAAAAAGCAAUAUAACAAAAAUGAAAAUCAAAACAAAACAUGCAUUCAACCAGUCAAGUAUAUUAUCUAAUUCAUCAAAUAAAAAAACCAACUACAUAAUCCAAACCAUCCAAUAUCAAAACUACAUUGAUUUAAAAAAUCUCCAACAAAAACAUGCAUAGAACAUAUAUUCAAAGCAUGUCGAUCAAAAAUUUCUAUACAAUUUGAUUAUAAAAGAUCUCUCACAAACUUCUUCCAUUGUGUCCCCCUCAAAUAUAUAUUCAAAUGUACACACAUUUGCCUCACUGGGGUGCGGAGGCUUGUAAACCGCAGGGGAACAUGUGCCCUGACCAACAUCCCCCUGUCUGUAUAUUCCUGUAAUCAUAAACAUAUUUAAUAUCAGCAUAAUGUGGUAAACAGGAAAUGAUAUAGGACCAAAUUGCAAACAUUAGUAAUCAAGCUUCACAAGGUGUGCUCAUGAACAAAGCCACCAACUAUAGACAAAUUGUUAAUCCAAACAGUGGUUCCCUAACUUAAUUAUAUAUAUUUGUUGAGUAUAUAAUAUUGCCUUGCAUGAGUGGAAACUUAAGUACAUUCAUAAAAUAAAUACAAAAGCCAAUAUAUUUUAAAUAAAAAAUGAGUGCAGAGUUGACUAUUACAAUUAUAGAAGCAAAUCUGGUACUUAAGAAACAAAAAUAUAGGAUUCUCUAAACUUCCUUUACUUCUUUAGUUGUUCCGAAUUUGCUAUGUAUUUAUAUUAAGUGAGAUUCUAUAAACAUAGUAUUUAGAUUAUAUGCCUGUUACUCACACUAUUCAUGGUAACAAGGCUGAGAUAACUCUUUAAGGUUAGAGAAAGAGGUCUCAGAGAGUUUGCUAGUUUGAGACAAAUCUUUUUUCCUUCUUAAUUUUUUAGAUGUGCAUCACUAGAUGAAUAUAAGUAUAGCAACAUUUUUGCAAGGAAAUAUGCAACUAGGCAUGUCCGUACCUGACUAAAUGACUUGGCUGAGAGGCUGGAUUCCUGAACUCGGCCCCGUAGUUGACUCCUAGAAGAGAAAGCCAUCAUUCAAAACAGCAGAGCAUACAUAAUCAUAUGGAAAUUAAUCUUAUUAUGUCACUUACAAGGGCAUCGGAUAGCAAAGAGGACAUUUUUUUACGGCUGGUACUCUGUCUAGUCAAAAGCAUAAGCAGGGCUCAUAUUAGCAAUAUCCAGGGUCCAAAAUGCUUCAAGAAAGAAACAUGCUGAUCAAUAUCUACAAUCAUUUUAAUGGAAACAAACAAGUAAAUAAGUAAAUUUCAAGAAAGAAACUUCUGUACCAUAUGACAAGUAAAUAUCACUAAUUUGUUCCAUUACAAGUAGUACAUAGUUGAUUUUUUUACCAGAGAAUCUUUUUUAAAAACUAUAUUAUUGCAUCAACUCCAGCCAAAAACAGAAACAUAAUAAUUGACAAAUCAGCGGAGACUAUAAUAUAAUGAUACAUAAAUGUAAGUCAUAACUAUUCAACUUAGCACUAACAGGAUAGAAACAUAUCAUAAUCAAAUAUAUCACUUGAAAUUCAACUUUAAAGAGAUUUAUAGUUCAGUGUUGUUACCCAAAUAGUAAGGUGAAUAAGGCCAAAAAAAUAUACUACAAUGACCAUGGAAUCUCGUAUCAGGUUUCCUACAUACAUAUACAAGUCAGGACUCAGGUCAAUACAUCUGAUAGAAGUCUAUAAAUGAUUCAAUAUUUUGAUGCAGAACUAUGAUUAAAUAAAAGUAAAGAACAAGAACCAUAAAACUAAUUGAACAUUUGUAUAAGAAAUUAAGAUACCAUGAAGAAGAAGAUGUAGACUGAGAAAAGAAGAACCCUAAAAUCAAAUUGAACCCAUCAAACCCUGAAACCCAAUCGAACUAAUCUGCAGGUUGCGUUUCUCCGAGCUGAGUUUUUAUCUACUAAUUAAUUCAAGUUGCUCUUCUUCAAGCUGUGUCUUCAAUAGAACAAAUUAGGGUUUACCCAAUCGAACCCUAACUACAAUUUGAAUGUCGGAGCAUGAAAUAGAUGGUGUGAGAGAGACUAGAUAGGGAGAGCAGAGAUGGAAAGAGAGAGAGACACGAGAGAGUCGAUCAAGAGAGAGUUGAUCGAGAGAGAGUCGAGAGGAAAAGAAAGAAAUGGGGAAAAUAACAUUUGGGUGAAGGUGGGAAAUAAAAUUUUGUUUAAGUGGGGAGUAUUUGUGUAAGGAGAGAAUAAUGAGCGGGUUUAUUAUUUUCAUUUUUUGAAACGGGAAAUAAGACAUCAAUUUUAACAAGAACUGAUGUCUAGAUUGUUAAAAGACAUCGUUUUUGAUUUUUUCGAUGUAAGAAAUACUUUCAACAUCGGGGGUAUUUCUAACUGAUGUCUAAAGUGUGAUGUCUAAUCCUGUUUUUCUAGUAGUGAAAGGGCCGGUGCCAACUAAUUUCAUGAGAAUUCUACAAUCAAAUACAGAACCCGCUGUUCACAGUUAUCAUAGCAACGUAAUUAAUUACAUAUGCAGUCGCUCCACAAAAUCAACAACUUCCUAUUUUCAUUCUUGAUGGUCUUGGAGGAACAGACCAGGGUAAAUAAAUUUCUGUUCACUAAUAGGAAUGUUUGGUGCUGAUAGAGAUACAAGAAUUUGGACGUCACUGAUCACCACUAAUUUUGGUCACAUCUGGGCAGGGAGCCUCAUUUUGUGACAGUAAUGGGUGGUGAUUAACACUAGGGGUACGGAUUUGUCUAAACUACCUGCAGCACCAUAGAGAAGGAAGUCUUUUAUAGACAGCUCCCAGUAUGUGUGCAAGUAUAAUCAACGAGCUGGUUUCAUAUAAAUCCUGUAAGUUUAGAAACUUACCCGUAAUCUGAAAAAUGCGUCCUUGAUAUUUUGGAGCAUUUUCUUCAUUAUUUUCUGCAAUUAUAAACAUUUCACAAAUAUAUUUAACUAUCAGUAAAAUAUUAUUACUUUGGUGGCUUUAUUUUUCACUGGUAUCAUACAAAACAAGUUUAAGAUUAACCUCAAACAGAACUUCAUUUCCUACACCGCAAAUUGGGAAAACGAGUGCAGGGGAUUGGUAAAAGCUCUUUUGAUUGAGAAUGUCUUGGUCCAAGAAUCAACAACACCAAGCUCCUUAAUUCAUGACCCACAUUCCCAAGAAAAAAUCAGCAUCUCGAACUAAAACACAAAGGCACCCAUCCAACACUGCCAAAACCUUUACUUCUCCCUGAUUCAUUUAUUGUGAUUAAUCUUAAACGUAUUAAUAAUUAUUAAUUAUGUGUGUCUUUAUUAGUAGUUGUCUAGUUGCCAGUAGAGUUUUAAUAGGAUGAAUAACUGUAGCAGUGGAGUCAUUGAGUUGGUAGUUUUUUCCUAUUUUCUAGCCACCUUUGUGGUGUGUAGUUCUGUUUUAAAAGCUUGUCAGUGUGAUCAAUAUAUCUGAGCCCAUUUGACGUGUAUGUACCAGUGUAUACAUUUCAGUUUAACACACACAAACACUUACAUAUUUACAUCAUCAUUCUCUUAUGUAAACAAAUAAUUAAACUUAGUCUCACCACCCUGCCCCACACCAAUACUACAGUCUCUCGUUUACAAGCCCUAAGAAACGGCCUCCUCUUCAAAGACAGCCCUCCCAGUCAAAGCCGCUAAACAACUCAAAACUCCUGCCACCAAAGACCACCGUGCCUCCGCCGCUAAGCCCGUGAUCACAGAACGCAACAGCAAAGUUAAUGGCCGAAGCCGUCGUAUCCGUCUGCCAGCCACGUGUACAGCUCGUGUGUUUCAGCUUACAAGGGAGUUAGGGCACAAAACUGAUGGUCAGACUAUCGAGUACUAAAUUUCGAUUAAGUCUUUAAUUGGUCAGAGUGUAGAGAAUAUGUUGGCAGCUACUUGCAGUACCUUUAGAUCGUUUGCUGAGGAGGAUUGCUGGCGGUGGAGUUCGGUGAAUUCAAUGCGUCCUUGAUAUUUUGGAGCAUUUUCUUCAUUAUUUUCUGCAAUUAUAAACAUUUCACAAAUAUAUUUAACUAUCAGUAAAAUAUUAUUACUUUGGUGGCUUUAUUUUUCACUGGUAUCAUACAAAACAAGUUUAAGAUUAACCUCAAACAGAACUUCAUUUCCUACACCGCAAAUUGGGAAAACGAGUGCAGGGGAUUGGUAAAAGCUCUUUUGAUUGAGAAUGUCUUGGUCCAAGAAUCAACAACACCAAGCUCCUUAAUUCAUGACCCACAUUCCCAAGAAAAAAUCAGCAUCUCGAACUAAAACACAAAGGCACCCAUCCAACACUGCCAAAACCUUUACUUCUCCCUGAUUCAUUUAUUGUGAUUAAUCUUAAACGUAUUAAUAAUUAUUAAUUAUGUGUGUCUUUAUUAGUAGUUGUCUAGUUGCCAGUAGAGUUUUAAUAGGAUGAAUAACUGUAGCAGUGGAGUCAUUGAGUUGGUAGUUUUUUCCUAUUUUCUAGCCACCUUUGUGGUGUGUAGUUCUGUUUUAAAAGCUUGUCAGUGUGAUCAAUAUAUCUGAGCCCAUUUGACGUGUAUGUACCAGUGUAUACAUUUCAGUUUAACACACACAAACACUUACAUAUUUACAUCAUCAUUCUCUUAUGUAAACAAAUAAUUAAACUUAGUCUCACCACCCUGCCCCACACCAAUACUACAGUCUCUCGUUUACAAGCCCUAAGAAACGGCCUCCUCUUCAAAGACAGCCCUCCCAGUCAAAGCCGCUAAACAACUCAAAACUCCUGCCACCAAAGACCACCGUGCCUCCGCCGCUAAGCCCGUGAUCACAGAACGCAACAGCAAAGUUAAUGGCCGAAGCCGUCGUAUCCGUCUGCCAGCCACGUGUACAGCUCGUGUGUUUCAGCUUACAAGGGAGUUAGGGCACAAAACUGAUGGUCAGACUAUCGAGUACUAAAUUUCGAUUAAGUCUUUAAUUGGUCAGAGUGUAGAGAAUAUGUUGGCAGCUACUUGCAGUACCUUUAGAUCGUUUGCUGAGGAGGAUUGCUGGCGGUGGAGUUCGGUGAAUUGGUAAGAUUUGAGAAACGUGUUGAAUGAUCCUGAUACACAUUUUAGUUGGCUUAGUGUUUUGAAUGGAAAGCCUAUCAGGAUAUUGGUGUUGAUUUCAGGUGGUAGCCAUCUGAAAAACAAGGGGAUAACUCAAAUAAGUUGUUGCCAUUAACAUUAACAUUAUGGAUAUGAUUGGAUUAUGUAGUACAUCAGCAACAAGAAUUUACAAAAGUGUUUAGGUAUGACAAUAUUUAUAAUUAAAUAAUAAUAUAACCAACGAUAUUUUAUAUGAAUCUUAUAAAAUUAUAAACUUACCCAUGGUUGAAGAAUGUAUAUUUCUGGAGCAUUUUCUUCAUUAUUUCUGCAGUUAUAAAAUAUUCACAAUUAUACAUAAAUCUUAUAUUAAUCCACAUAUACAUCUGUCAUUAAAAAUAAAAUUCAUCAAUCAUGAUUGCCCAUCAAUGUAAAAUAGUAGUCAUCAAUCAUAGAAAUCAAUUAAAUAUAUUACAAAUUCAAGUAUGAAUAUCACUUACCAUUCAAGUGAAAAAUUCAAAUAUAAGCUAACUUAAAAUGGGAAGUAAGAAAAUUAUAUAGUAAUAUACUAGUUUGACCAUCGAUAAAACGAAAAGUAAGACUACUUGACAUUUGAACAUCUAAAAUACACAUAUACGUUUCAAACUAGAUAUGAUGAUCCUAAUAGAAUUUGAUCUUAUAUUAAUCCGAAAGAAAUGUUAUUUUGCUGGAAAUUGAGUCGAGGCACAAUUAACCCUUGGAACCGCAACCAGUUCAAUUCUUGCAAAAUCAACAUUAGAUCCAAGCGAAUCAUAUAUGAUCUUAACUGAAACUUAUCAAUAUAUGUUAUAACCAAAAACGAUCCAAUCCAAAUGGAUCCGAUCGAAACCGAUCUGACCGGAAUUAUCAAGUAUACUUACAAGAUCUAAUAGAUUUAAUAAAAACUGAAAAUAAAAAUAUAAUGCGUGCCCGAUUGUACGACUUGAAUGAAAACCAAAUUAUAGAUGACACACAUAUUUAAUCACAUAAAGAUUUGGAUCAUACAAUAAAACAAAGAUCCCAAGUAUUUUUGCACGAUAUCCAUGUUUAUAAACAACGCAACGCUCUGAAUUUAAUUUGUAUGAAUUUUGUUGGUGACAACAUUCGUUGUUAUAGGUGUAUUUCUCUAUUCUGAGUAUAAAAUGUUCAGAUGAGGAGAUGAGAUGGGAGAAAGGAGAAAUUAUGGGAGGCGGCUAUGAAUGAAAUAAGGUUAAAGAUGGUACAAUAUUUAUAGGAAAAUUAUGUAUGAAAUAAUAUGAAAAAAGCCCAUUUUAAAAACAUAUAGGCCCAAUCCGCAUGAACAAAAUUUUAUAAUUACCAUCAAAAAAUUAUACUUUGGUGGCUUUAUUUUUCACAGAAUAAUACAAAACAAGUUUAAGAUUAACCUCGAACAAAACUUCAUUUCCUGCACUGCAAAUUGGGAAAACGAAUGCAGGACGGAGAUUGGUACAAGCUCUUUUGGAUGAGAAAGUCUUGGUCCAAGAAUCAACAACACCAAGCUCCUUCAUGACCCACAUUCCGAAAGAAAAAUCAGCAUCUGUGAAUAAAACACUAAGGCACCAGCAUGGCCCUCUGGAUCCUCCUCCGAGAAAGCAUCUCUGCAGACUCCUGCCGUUGGAAGUAUCAGGCUCUUCGAAGUUCCCGACUUAUUAGGGCCUUCCGUUGCAACAGAAUUAAAUUUUCUCAUAUAUGAUAAUGACUGGAUAAUAUAUCAUUCACCAAGUCUUAGAAUUUAAUUUGAUAUCAUAACUUAUGUCAUAUAUGAUAAUGAAGGGAUUAUGUAUCGCUUUAUUAUAUAUAUAACCACCACAUCUUAGUUAGUUGGACAAAAUUUUAUAUUACAAAAACUCAAAAUUUAGAAAAUUAUCAGAAUUUUUUUUUUGUGGUUCAUGAGGAAGAGGAACAAGAUCCAGUAACUCCUCCUUUAUGUGAUCUUUGUCAAUUGUUUUUGUCGUCUUUGUCAUUUGUUUAGUCACGAAUGUAUAUAUAUUUAUUAUUAUAAUUAAAAAAAUUAAGAGACGCAAACACGUAUAUAUUUUGUUAGUUAUAUACUAUAUAAAAUUUACAGAUAAUUUAGACCUUUUAUCGAGGACUUAUCAUUUAAAUUUAAAAAUAUUUCUAAAAAAACAAAUUUAUCAAUGAAAUGUUUGAUUUGACUAAAUAUACUCGAUCAAAUUAAUCAAUCAUAUACCCGAAAUUAAAUAUAUUACGAUGUAGUCUUAGUGUAUAUAUUUCAAUUUUUUUAGAAGUAAUUUUGUUUUAUUUUAAAAGAUGUAUUUCCAUCAAUCGAUUUGACCAUAUAUAUUCAAUCUUCCAAAAAUGAAUUUACAAUCAGAUAUAUAAUUAAGAAAGUAUCUAAACAUGUAACAUAAAUAAAUUGUUAAUUAAUCAACAAUUGGUGCCUAUUAAAUAAUAUAUAUAUUUUAGGAUUAUAUAUUAAUAUUGUUUUAUAUUAGUUUCAUGUCAUUUCAAAUCAAAAUAAUCUCUUGUAGGCUUAUACUUCUAUUUAAUAAAAUAAUAUAUAAUAUAUAUUAUAAAUGAGAUCAUAUUAUGUGUGUGUGUGUUGCAGAAAUAAUAAAUUUACUAUCAAUUUUGUUCACCAAUAUUAAUUGGGGUGGGGUGGGGUGACAAAUAUGAUAGAGACAUAAAACUGUUACAAGCGGCAGCACUAGCCCUAGAGGUUAAGAUUUAGGUCUAGUGCAUUCUCUUCUUGGUCCUCAUUGUCGGUGUCAAGCACUAUAAGAUGACCGCUGCUUGAAUCUCUUGAUCCAAGGAGCAGCGGGUGCAAUUGAAGCCUUAAUAAGUCGGGAACUUCGAAGAGUCUGGUAUUUCCAGUGGCAGGGGUCUGCAGAGGGGCUGGUGGAGAAGGAGAUAGAGAGAUACGAGAUGAUACCCAAGGACCGGUCCAAAAGAAAUGAGCGCCGCUGAUGUAGGUGGAUUAACCGGAGUGGGUGGUGGAAGACGAGAUAAAAAAGCGUAAGAUGAUCCCACCAUUGUCCCUGGCGGAUUAGUGGCGGACAACCUUAAAAAGGGUUGACCGAUCCGCUAUGGGUCAUGGAUAAAGGAUUUUGACGGUGGGUUUCAGCGCUCCUCCGCCUUUUUGCCGGCUGUCCUCCCUGCGGGCAUUUUGGUGUCCUCGUGCUAUGGAGGAUGUAUAUUUUGUGGAGCAUUUUCUUCAUUAUUUCUGCAAUUAUAAAAUAUUAGCAAUUAUACAUAAAUCUUAUACUAAUCCAAAUAGACAUCUAUCAUUAAAAAUAAAAUUCAUCAAUCAUGAUUGCCCAUCAAUUAUAAAAUAAUAGUUAUCAGUCAUAGAAAUCAAUUAAAUAUAUUGCAAAUUCAAGUAUGAAUAUUACUUAACAUUCAAGUGAAAUAUUCAAAUAUAAGCUAACUUAAAAUGAGAAGUAAAAAAAUUAUAUAAUAAUAUACUAAUUUGACCAUCGAUAAAAUGAAAAGUAAGAUUACUUGACAUUUGAACAUCUAAAAUACACAUAUAUAUUUCAAACUAGAUAUGUUGAUCCUAAUAGAAUUUGAUCUUAUAUUAAUCCGAAAAAUUUCUUAUUUGGCUGGAAUUUGAGUCGAGGCACAAUCGAUCCUUGGAACCGCAACCAGUUCUAUUCAUGCAAAAUCAACAUUAGAUCUGACCUUAACAGAAACUUAUCAAUAUAUGUUAUAACCAAAAACGAUUCAAUCCAAAUGGAUCCAAUCGAAACCGAUCUGAUCCGAAUUAUCAAGUAUACUUACAAGAUCUAAUAGAUUUAAUAAAAAUUGAAAAUAAAAAUAUAAAUCAUGCCCGAUUGUACGACUUGAUUGAAAACCAUAUUACAGACACACAAAUUUAAUCACAUACAAAUUUGGAUCAUACAAUAAAACAAAAUAAGUACCAAUCGAUUCACAAAAUUAAUUUAAUGUGUAAAUCCAUUUAGAUUGUAACUUACAGUGGUGAUUUAGAUAAAGUCGUCAUCCCAUCAUUUUUGAACGUAUAACAAAAAAGAUCAAUAAGUAAAUCUUGCAAUAAUCACGAACAACUCAUCUCUCCGCUUUCAGAUGGUAUUAUUCUUCUGGGUGAUGGUGUAUUAUAUUGAACAGAUCUAUUUUUAAUAUAAAAGGAGAAAAAGGAGAAUUUUAUCGAGACGUAGAUGGAGAAGAGAGAAAUUAUGAGAGGCAGCUAUCAAUGUAAGUUGAUAGGAUAAAUGGGACACAAUAUAUAUAAUAUGUAAAUUAAUAAUUUAAACAACAACGCUUACCGAUGUGAUUUAGAUAAAGUCGCGAUCUCAAGUAUUUUUUGCACGCUAUCCACGUUUAUAAACAACGCAACGCUCUGAAUUUAAUUUGUAUAAAUCUUGUUGGUGACAGCGUUCGUUGUUAUGGGUGUAUUUAUCUAUUCAGAGCAUAAAAUUUUCCGAUGAGGAGAUGAGAUGAGAGAAAGGAGAAAUUAUGAGAGGCGGCUAUGAAUGAAAUAGGGUAAAAGAUGGGUACAAUAUUUAUAGGAAAAUUUUGUAUGAAAUAAUAUGGAAAAGACCCAUUCUAAUAAAAACAUAUUGGCCCAAUCUCGACGAACUAAGUUUUAUCAUAAUCAUCAAAAUAUUUUAAUCAUCAACUUUUUAAGAAAGCAUGAGUUUUAAUUGUACCUAGUUGUUAUAACUUUAUAAUAUACUCCCUCCGUCCUCUUUACAUGUCCAUUUUGAUUUUGGAGUCAAAUUGACCAUUUUUGACUAAUUACCAUUACAAAUUAUCAAUUUAUUAUUUUUAAAAUCUGAAAGUUGCAUAUUAAUAAAGACUAAAUAUACUUUAUAAUGAUAUGAUUUUUUUUAUUAUUUUUCCCAAUUAUGUGAUACAUGUAAAUUCUAGUCAAAAUAGAAUCAAUUUGACUAGUCAAAAAUCAGAAUGAACAUGUAAAAGGAGACGGCGGGAGUAAGUAAUUAGUCAAUACAAUUGUAUUUGGUGAUCAAUUAUAAUAUAUUUUUUGUAAAUUUCUAAACACAUAUUUACGAAGUUUAUGAUUUAAUCAAAAACUCGAUGAAGAAUUAUUGAUAAUACAAUAUAAAAAAAGAAAAAUAAUAAUUUAUUAAUGAGGUUUUUCACAAAUACCCAAGUCUAGAAAGUCUUUUGCAAAAUACUAUUACUUUUUUUUACAAAAUUUGCAAAAAUACAUUUUUUUUAAAAAUGUAAAAAUGCCAUUUUUCUUAAACUUCUUUACAAAAAUACGAAGUUUACAGUUACAAUCAUAUCUGUAAUUAUAAACGCAACUUAAAAAAACUGUUGAAAUUACAGACACACACAUACAUAUAGUUUUUUGACCAAAAGCUAAAAGUUCAAUAAAAUACUCAAACCUAGUGGGGACAAACCCCCGAACUAUCAAUUAUGUGAAACAAAAAACGGGCUAGCAAAUAGUCAUUUUGUGUUCAGCUCGUUUAACACAUAGAAUAUUUAAAUUCUUUAAUGUAAGAAGUAUUACAAUCAUAUCUCGAGUUAUCAAAUCUACAUCAACUUUGACAAUAGUAGCACACAAUUGACAUUCAGAUAAGCAUCAUUUGCUGCCCAAUGGUUACGACAAUUUUUUGUCGUGAAAGGUAAACUCUUGCGAUAUUCACCACCAUACCAUAUUUGAUGCGAGUCUUACGGAUCACCCAAAAUAGAAUAUAAGCCAUUAUUAGAAAAAUUACCGAUACUCUUAGCAAAGAACACAAAAACAUCAAAACACAAAACAUCAACAUCCCAAAAAAAUGGGAACGAUCUUGAUAACAAGGUACUCAAUAAGAACUCGCCCAAAGGGAUCAGAUUUUGAUUCUAUUAAAAAACUAGUAAAUACGAGAGAGAAUGAAAGAGCGAAGAGGCUUAAUAAAUGAAAGGGGAUGAAGGUUGAAAAGCGGAGAAAUGACGGUUCAAACCCUAACUUUGGAAGUCGAAUCUCAAGACUGCAAACCCUAGAAUAUCUAGUUGAAAUUAUAUUUAAUUGCAUAAUAAGUUGGAACGGCUUUCAAAGGUCUCAAAGAUGAGUUCUCCUGCUGAGCAGGUACUAAUAUAACAAAAAAUCUAAUAAAAUCAUACUAGAAAACAUAUGUUGCAUUUAAUUGCAUUAGGUUGAAAGCUAUUUUCACAAGUAUUUUCAAACUAUUGUAAAAUUACAAAUUAACUUACAAAACAAAUAGUAAUUUUGAUAAAUACCCUUUACAAAUUUAAUAGUUCUAUAUCUCAUUGAUCAUGCACAUCUUAAUGUGCUUAUCUCCUAGAUAAAGGUAUUAGUGCUCGUAUUAAAAAAAAAUAUAUACAGUCAUCUAAUAUGUAAUUCUAUCUUAUAUAUAUUUAUCAGUUUAUUAAGUCUCAAAGCUUUGGACAAUCCCAAAAUUCAAAGAGCUCUCAUUCAUGGCCGGGACCUUUAAUAUCUGCAAAUAAAUUAAAAGUUUGUGAAUUUUUUACGACGUAUUAUAUUAUACUUUAAACAUACACAAUUGUCCACAUAACUAUCUAACUUCCAAAUUGUGGAUUUCAUCCAUUUAAGUAUAUAUAUCAACUGAUCCACAACAUAUCAUAAUACACCGACUUAUGAGAGUGUCCAAAACUCUUGUAAAGAUUUUUUUUUUAAUAUAUAGAACAACUAUACACACCAAUCAUAUGAAUCAUAUAUAUUACUAAUUUGUUGAAAUACUAUAAAAUGAACAUUGAUAUAUAAAUUAAGGUCACAUAUAUGGUUGGUUGACUUGCAUAGAUUAUGCUUAUAUCCUUGAAAGUAUGAAAAGCAGCUCCCAUGAAUUCAUCAGUUAAUUUACUCCUUACCCCAUGUCGCCCUCCCAGGCUCCCUCCCACUUCAGCAAAAAAAAAAAAAUCAAAUGGAGUUUAGUACUGACCAAAUUCAACUUCAAUUGGCCCUGUUAAUUAUACAUGAUUUAUUUAGCAGCUCACAAUGUCAGACGUAAGUUUUGAAAGUGUUUGUAACAUAGUUACAAAGUUUGGUUUACAUAGAGGCCUCACCUUUGUGCCAUGCCCCCUGGCUCGGUCCUAAAACUCACAAUCGAAUAUGGAGAUUUGCUCUUGUCCUUAUUGCCCCUUAGGGGGCUUAGAAUAUAUUAAGAAAUAAGAUGAGUGUUAAAUUACUAUAACUCAUAUGCGGCUUUUCCGCACCAAAAGGUUCCAAGGAGUCGGAGUGUUGGACAUCUAAUGGCCACUUUUUCCUUGUGCUCGGGUAUGGUUAUAAUGAUAUGGAGAUGCAUAUUCAAUUGAUAUUCUUCAAUGUUGUGAAGUAUAUGUUGUACCUAGUUCAUGUGUAUAAUUAAACAAGUAAAGAUUGCUGGGAAAAGAUGGAGGAUAAACCAAGUAUAUAAUAUUAUUGGAUAUCCGCAAGCAAUAUUAAGUAAAUUAUAGAGUUAAUUGCAUUUUGCACCCCUACAUUUGGGCCAAAAAACACUUUAGUAUACAAAAUUUGAAAAUUGCAUUUCGCAACCCAAUGGUAUUUUGGGCGCUGCAUUCUUCACCCCUUCCGUCAAAACUUAACACAUCUGUUAAAAAUUUGAGGGUAAUUGAGGCAUUAAAAAAUUAUUGAAACACAAAUGCACUAAUUGUGGGUUAAUUAGAUUCUAAGAACUCUCAAAUCUCUACCAAACAUCAUUGACCAGAAGCCUCUGCUUCCUCUGCUAUUCGAAAUCCCUACCAAACAUCCACCUCUCCGGUCUCCCACUCACUCCCCAUCUUUCAGCACACCUCUCAGCUCCGGUGAAUAUCAUCUCAAAUUUUCCCCCCCCCCCCCCAUUCACCAACUCAACAACCUUCAAACUACCCAAAACAGAGCCAACUGAGUUCAGCCAGGGCUCCGAUCAACACCCGUUGCUUCAGUUACUGACCCUGCGCAAAGCGACGGUUUUUGGAGAAUGCUGGAAAGUAUAUAAAGUUUCUAGAGGCGCAAGUGAGCAUGCUGCAGUGUAUGCCUGUUGAUGACUGUCUGGUAAGUGAGAAUGUGAGUGGUGGAAUGGAUAGGAACAGAGUGUUGCAGAUGAUGGUGAACUCGGAGGUGAGUCGGGGGAAGAUGAGUUCAGAAGGCAUGUGUGUUUACUCGGGGGAGCAGCUGGUUCAGAUUAUUGUUGCAGCAGUAACAGAGGUUCAGAGGUGUAGAGUAAAUUAGGGUAAAUACACAUAUAUUUAGGGCAUAUAUCUGUUAAAUGGGGAAGAAGAUGGUUAAAAUACGAUAUUCCCAUUUUACCCCCUGCUCAAGUAACGUAAAACAUGAAUAUUUAACGGAGGUUGACGGAAACAGUGCAGAAUGCAGCGCCCAAAAUACCAAUGGGUUGCGAAAUGCAAUUUCCGAAAGUUUGUUGACUAAAGUGGUUUUGGGCCCAAGUGUAGGGGUGCAAAAUGCAAUUAACUCUAAAUUAUAACAUGCAGAUAAUGAGAAAUAAAAUAGAAAUUUAAGGGCAGAGGUAAUUUACCUGAGGAUGACUAGUGGACAUUUGCAUCUCGCACCUCUAUCACAACAUCCAUCAAUUUCAGCUGUUCUUUUAGUUCUUUUUCAGUUUUUGCAAUAUGACCAGGAUACCAGUACUCAAUUAGCAGCAGGGUAAGUGUACAGAAACCAGGAUUAGUAAAUCCAAGAUGCAGUGCCAAACAAUAAUAUACUAUCUAGAGCUCUCUUAAACAUAUGGACUCCAUCUUACCUGAACAGGCCGCAAUGCUUUUGUCCAAUGAUAGAGUUCAUUAUCGAGAUCGACCCAGUCAAAUUCGUCUUCAUGAUUGUGAAAUGUAUCACUAAAAUGCUAAUUACUGUUUCCAUACAAACCUGAAGUAUUCCCGCGAACAAUCUGAAAUGGUGCAAACUUAAGUUAUAUCCUUCUUUCCACCAAUUUGAUGAAAAAAUUCCUAUGAUAAUAUAUAUAUAUAUAUAUAUAUAUAUAUAUAUAUUUGUAUUUAUAUACACUGACAUAAGCACGAAAUAUGGAAUCCACACAUUAAUUUUUGUUAGACAACUAGAAAUGGUAAUGAAUGAUGAAUUACAAAUUCACGGACAUCACAGUCAUAAGUUAACUGCAAAAGAAAAAGCUAUCUAUGGCUUAUCGAAAGUGGCUGCUGUUGGAAUAAUCUUAAAUUUAGUUGUUAUUAAUUAUUUAGUUAUUUAUCUAUUUUGAUGUAAUUUGAUUAUUUGUGUCCACGUUAGUUUUAGAUUAAGGCAGUCAGAUGUUUGUUUGAGUGUUUUUAGGAAGUAUUUUGAAUAAGGUGGAGUGCUUGAGAAUUUGUAGGAAGUAGCCGUUGGUUUGUAGCCAAUCUGGUGGGUUUUCCUUAAAUUGCUUGUAUUUUCCAUUCUGCAAAAAAAACAAGAGAGACAAUACAAUGUAGUACUUGAGAUCAGUUUGUGCUUAUAAAUAUCUCUCUUCCAUCUUGUUUAUCCUAUAUCUAUCAUUCUAGUGUUUAUUAUUUUCAACAACUGCUUCCUUACAAAAUGACAUAGUGACAUUUGUGCUUGGACUUGAAUAAUACCAGGAUAUAGAAAGAAAACAAAUUCAUGCUAUUGCAUCUCCUUGUGACUUUUGACAUCGUUCAACCAUAUAUUUGAGUAUUGAGAGAUUUAGAGCCAGUAUUAUAAUAAUCAUGUGCCCGAUACAGCAAUGCCAAACUUGUGGUUGUAUAUAGUCUUACAGUUCUGGCAUUUUGACUUGCAUUGAACGCUCUUAUUGCAUUAUUGAGGUAGUUGCCCUGGCUUUACUAGGAACAACCAAAUUCAAAAUGAAUUGUUCCACUUUAUAAAGGAAGAUUUCAAGUAAUACGCGGACAUUAUACAUUAUUUUCUCUCACAACAUACUACUUAGUACGCAGCAGCCUGUUUUAAAAAUUAAAGCAAUCUACUUGCAUGAUAACUAAAUGCUUAAAAGAACUUGACAAUUGACAUAGCUCAUAUCGACAAUUAGCUCCACUGAGGCAUCAUCGAACCAUCUUCCACUCUGACGAACCAUAAAAAUAAACUUAAAAAACUCCAGAUAGUUAAAACCCAAACCUCUCGAAAUCUAUUGUUUCAAACUAAUUUCUAAAGAUUUCAAAAGACGAUUUCUUUAAAAGGACUCCAAAAAUUUAACCCAGUAGAUUUUACAAGCUUCAUUUCAUCAUCUAAUUAGUCAGCAAAAAAAACAGCAGAACUUUACAAUUAAAUAGUAACCACAUAAAAGGACAACAACAAAAUGGAUAAAACAAGGACAUUCUGAAAAACCCAUCAAUAAAUUAAGCUAAUUUUCACAUUGCAUAAAGUGAACAACCAAAUUGCAGGACUUUAAUCAAAAUGUGAUGGAGAGAGAUAGAGGGAGAGAGACGGAUAAAGGGAGAGAGGGACAAAGAUAGAGGGAGAGAGGGAGGGAGAGAAAGAGGGGGAGAGAGAGAGAGAGAGAGGGAGAGGGAGGGGGAAGAGAGAUUACCUGAAUAGUGGAGGUGGGGUGGGUCGGAGAAGCAGCACAAACAGUAGACAAAGGUCUGGUUCUUGGGUGAGGCCCACUAAUAAAUGAUGGUGCUGCAGAGCUCUUCUUGACACAACAAAGCCCAGAUGAUAUCUGAACAAGAAGAUGAGCUCCCAUUGCUAUGAUUUUACUAUCUAACAAUUCUCAACACCGCUUAAUCCAUGUUUGCCUUUAUAUAUGUGUUCUCACUUUGUCAAACACCAAAUAAGUGACCAAGUUCAGUUUUAUAAGACGACUCACAGAGGAAAGAAGAUAAAAAUGAGAAGCGGUUAAUUAAAAAAAAUUAUUUUUCAAAAAUAUAUAAGUGCCCGGUUGAGACAACUUCUAGCUUUUUUCGACAAAAAGCCGGCUUCUAUUUUUUGUAACCUGUUUGUGUAAAAAUUAAAAAGCACUUGUUAAAAGCUGAGAAUGCUAAUUUAUUUCUGGACUUCUACUUAUUUCCCAAACAGUGUAAUCACUUAUAAGUCUUGAUUUAAUUCUCAAUUCUAGUUCAUUUAUUUACUUUAAGCAAAAACACUUUUUUUAGAUUCAUCCAAACAGCCCUAUAUUAUAAAAAAAAUAUUUUUAAAAAUACCAAUUAAAAAAAAUAUUUUUAAAACUACGAUUUACAACUAUUGCAACUAUAUUUGCAAACGAUCAACCAAAAUCAACCACAAAUUUCAAUCAUAUUUACAAUCAAUCAAUCACAAAUGCAAUUUUACAUACUGUGUUACACAACAAGUUCGCUUCCACGCCUAAGAAAAAAAAGAAAAGAAAUCUACAUAAAAUAUACACACAUCUAAAAUGUCUAACUUGCUCGUAUCAAGCAAUUACUAAAAUCCCUUUUUCAAAACCCUAAAUUACUUUUGACAAAAUCUCCAGUUAUCAAAACCCCACCUUAUAAAUUCCUCAUUUAUUAAACCCUAUGAAUUCUUUUAUCUCCCAUCGAUCCCUAACAAUCUCACCUCUAUUUUCCAACUUCUUCGAGCUCUAUAUAUUGGCUAUGUUGCACUGUUAACUCUUCUAUACUCCCGUUCCCAAAGAAUGUCAAGCACAGAAGAUGUUUAGAUACGUGUCAUUGCCUGAUGAUUUGCGCACUGUAUCUUAUUGGAGUGAGACCCACGAGUUGCAUAGCACAAGACAUCUGUAGUUACGUGUCGUUACAUGAUGAUUUGUGCAUUGUGUCUAAUUGGAGUGGGAUCCACAAGGUGCAUAUGAGGAUUUAUGUAGCAUAAAGUUUAGAAGCAAGUAUUGUCCACGACAUAGCGUUGUAUAUGUGGUGAGAGAUGAUUAUAUCAACAUGAGUCUGCUUCCCAUUUUCUCCAAUCACCUCAUUUAGUUUAUGUUUUACAUCAGUUUUUUUCAAAAAUUAAAUCAGAGUUACAAUUUCAGUUGCAAAGCGAUUUUUAAAAAUAAAACUUAGUAAGUAGUAAUUUUGGAAAUAAGUUUCAAAAUGAUCCUACUUCUAAAAAUACUUUUUAAAUGGUAGUAUUUUGAAAAAAUUUCUAAAAAAUCCACUUGAAAUAAUUUUAAUUAUCUUAAAUGACAUAGUAUCGAAAGAGUUCUUCAAAAUAAUUAAAUGAUCUAAUAUACUUAGAGGGGUGUAUUGGAUUGGGAUUUUAAAGCAUUUUUUUUUUUGCAUUCAUGAAAUCCGAGGGUAUUCGAUUGAGAUUGUUUGAAAUCCAUUAAAAUCUUGAUGUAUUCAAUUGGGAUUUUAAAUUAUGCUACAAAAUCUGGUGAUAUUCGAUUGAGAUUUUAAAUUAUGCUUUAAAAUCUGAUGGUAUUCAAUUGGGAUUGUUUAAAAUUCAUUAAAAUCUGAUGGUAUUCAAAUGCUGAUGGAUUUUUUUGGAUUUCGUAAAAUGAUGGAUUUUGUGGCAUUGUUCAGUGUAUUUUAAGUUUUAUGAAAUCUCAUCAAAAUCAAUGGGAUUUUGAAGCAUUGUGCUUAAAUCCUAUCAACUCUGCGACAUUUGAUCAAGAAUCCGCACAAAAUCAAAAUCACAUACAAUCCAUUAAAAUUCAUAGAUUAACAACAAUCCAUUAAAAUCUCAAUCGAAUACAUCCCCGUUAAAAUCAAUUGAUUACUACGUAUAUUUUUGAGACUAAUAUAAUAGGUUGAAUAAUUUAAGUUUUAUUAUAUUAUUUUAAUAUGUCUUAUUAAUUCUCUGAUCUAAUCGUUUCAAUUUAUCAUCAGUUAUGUGAUUAAAUAAUUCCCAUCAAUUGAAUCUUAUUUAUGCAAUUUGGAAUCCCCACCUCUAUUUAACAUAUUUCCUUUUGAUUGAUUAAUCCUGUAAAUUAAAUACCAUUCAAUAUCAUUAAAUUUGUAAAUCUAAAUCCAAAAUAUUUAUAACUUAAUGAUUUUAGUGUUAAAACUUAAUAAUAUAACAUAUUACACAACAUGUGUCUAUAUAAUAUAUAAUAUAAAUGAAGUUAAUUAAAGUAUGAUAUAUAACAUAAACAAAUUCAUCCUUUGUCCAUCAUCCUCAAAAUCAGUGGUAAGUCCAUUUCUUUUAUGGUAUUGUCAUUGUUUCCACUAAUUGUAUCAUUCAAGUAUUGAACUAGUUGCUCUUUCUUUUUCGCAGUUUCACUCGGGCAAGGAGUUUGUUAACAAUUUUGCAGUAUCAGACGAAACCUUCCAGCUUAUUGAAGGUAAACUUUAUACUAUUAGUACAAUUAAUUGGAUGAUUAGAAAUUCGGGCUCAUUGAAGCAAUAUUAUAUUCAUCAUUACUGUCAGUGGCGGAUCUAGGAUUUUGACAAGGGGGGCUUCACUAGUAUUAAAAAAAAAUUACAAAAGUCUUAAAGAUCUCAAAUACAUAAUAUUCCCUAAUUAUUUUUAUACAUUGUCACGAGGAGGUAAUUGCAUUCUUCGAGAUGCCAUUUUUUGAAAACGAUCUAAAAUUAAUUCACUAUUGAUCUUUGCAAAUACAUCCUUCUCGAUGUAUACCACCAAGCUAUCAUUCAUCCAUUCAUCUCCCAUUCGAUUUCGGAAAUCAGUCUUGAUGAUAUUCAUUGCAGAAAAUACUCUUUCAACAGAAGCAGUUGCCACAGGUAGAAGUAAUGUUAAUUCAGUCAAACGAUACACCAAUGGAUAUGUGCAAGAUUUCUUAGUAGCUGCCAAUUUUUUUUGCAAGAGUUCCCAAAUCUCCGAUACUAGAAAAUUCUUGAUCUCUCUUGACAUCAUAAAUAUACAUGUCUAAUUGAUUGCGAAUCAUUAGAAGUUCUGUCCAUGAAAAAUCCUCUGGAUUAAGAUUAGCAAGAUGCACUAGUUUAUCAACAUCGAAGGCAGAAUAUGAAUCUCUAGGAUCAAGACAAGCUACUGAAAGAAGCAAGUCUGCACUUGUUUCUGGAAACCAGUUAUCCAACUCUUGUGAAAUUAAAUCAACCACCUAAAUUGCAAAUGAUAAAUAGUUAUAUUAAUAAAGAGGUAAUUAUAUAUUGAGAAAAACACAAUUGAAAUGGACUAGGAGAGGGACUAUUACCACCACUUGAAUCCAAUGAAUUUCUUGGCCUUUUAGUAAAAUAUUUAGCAAUUGACAUUGAGCCUACAUAAAUUUUAACACUUAAAUAUUCAGUUCACAAUUAAUCCCUAAUUUUAACAUAUACAAAAAAUAAAAAAUAUAUAUGCUAAGUGUAUAUAUACUAUACAUAUAUNNNNNNNNNNNNNNNNNNNNNNNNNNNNNNNNNNNNNNNNNNNNNNNNNNNNNNNNNNNNNNNNNNNNNNNNNNNNNNNNNNNNNNNNNNNNNNNNNNNNNNNNNNNNNNNNNNNNNNNNNNNNNNNNNNNNNNNNNNNNNNNNNNNNNNNNNNNNNNNNNNNNNNNNNNNNNNNNNNNNNNNNNNNNNNNNNNNNNNNNNNNNNNNNNNNNNNNUCAUCUAAAAUUAUACAAUAUCUCAACAUGAUUCUAUAACAGAAUAAUAAUCAUCCAGAAUUAUUCUGUUGUAGAAUCAGUUUCGAAAAUAUACUUUUUUAAUCAAAUUUUAAGUGUUAAAUUACUUAAAAUAGAUUUAUUUUAUAGUAUUCUAUAUUAGAAUCACGUUUUAUAUGUAUUCUAUAACAGAAUUUAUAAUAAAAUUGAUGAUUUAUAGUGGCGCACUAUGUAACUCCAUAUAAGGAGUCCCUCUCUGGAAUGUUGGCCUAUAUAUAUAUAUAUAUAUAAAAGCUUUAGAAAUCAGACCUGAGCUUGAAGAAGAAGGAAAGAAAUUGUAGAAGAAGAGCAGGGGAGGAAAGCUUGCGUUGAGAUUGAAUGGAGUGGUGAAUCACCAGGAGCACAGCACAGGAGCAAGUAGCAACAAAGAGGAGCGCACGAUUUCUUUCAAUUCAACCAGCAGCAGGUGGGUUUUUUGUUUAGUGAAUAGGCUGGCUAAUAAUAUAAAAGUAUGGGCUGAAAUUGUUGGGUGGGCUCACUUCCAAAACCUAAAAAAUUUAUACUACAAUAUGAAUUAACUAUGGGCUCAGGGGUGGGCUUAAGCCCCAUUUUUUUCUAACACUUGUAAAUGAUUUUGUAGUCUGUAAUGCCAGAUUUGAAUCUUCCUUACAAGGAGAAGGAAGAAAGCAGUGAUAUUGCUUCCAAGCUAAUUGCUUUCGGCCGGAGAGUGUGCUAUAUUUUCGUACUAGUACCUGAAAACAAUCAAAAGUGCCCCAAGUGUCGUCAAAGCAUCACUCUGUUUAAUGAUUUUGAUAGAACCCGUACGUGGGCAAAACUAGAAAAGGCCUAUAAAUCAAAAUACUUAUUUUGAAUAGGCCUUUCCUAGUUUUGCCCACGGGUUCUAGAAAAAUCAUUAAACAGAGUGGUGCCUUGACGACACUUGGGGCACUUUUGAUUGUUUUCAAGUACUAGUGCGAAAAUGUAGCACGCUCUGCAGCCAAAAGCAAUUAGCUUGGAAGCAAUAUCACUGCUUUCUUCCUUCUCCUUGUAGGGAAGAUUCAAAUCUGGCAUUACAACCUACAAAAUCAUUUACAAGUGUUAGAAAAAAAAUAUUAAAUACAAGAAUUACAAUAAUUAUAAAUAUUAUAUUGCACACAGUUGCUUCAAUCAGCUCGAAUUUCUACUCAUCCAAGUAAUAGUACUAACAAUAUAAAGUUUACCUUCAAUGAGGAUGGUUUUGUCUGAUAGGAUAGAGUAAAAAUGCAAAAAAAAAAAAGAAGAGAGCAACUAGUCUAAUACUUCAUCAAUGAUACAAUUAGUAGAAGCAAUCAUAAUACCAUAAAAAUGGCACUAAAAGCCAUUAAAGGCAUAAAAUGUCAUCAAUAAUGACCCCUAUAAAUGGUAUUAAAUAUUCACAAAGAAUAUUUAUCCAAUCACAAUUUAAAACGUAACUAUUAUAAUUAAAACUAAUAAAGACAAAUAAUGAACAACCAAUUAAAGAGAUCCCGUAAUUAAAGUCAGUCCAAAUUAAAAUUAAAUUAUUGUCUAAAAAUCAAACAAUCAUAAUAAAUUAUGAAUUCAUAAAAUUUAAAAUUUAAAACCUUUUAAAAUCAUGAAUAAUGACCAUCAUAAAUGUUAUUAAAAUAUCAUGAAGAAUAUUUAUCAAGAUAUAUUCCUUUCCAAAAAUUAAUUGAAAAAAUUUUAAUCCUUGCAAUUUAAAAAAAAUUUGCACAAAAAUAUACAUACAAAUAUAAUAUAUAAAAGCAACGUCGUAAUUAAAAAUAAAUUGAUAUCGAAACAAAAUACUCAACAAUAGAACAUGAACCUAAAAACAUGUUAAAAAAUUAAAAAAUUAAUCUAGAAGAUCAAAUCACACACUUAACAAACCCACACAAUCAAGAACACUUAUCAAAAAUCUAUAACAGACCUAAUUUCAAAUCCAUAUUCCGGUCAACCAUAACAAAAUCCGGCUAAGUUAAAACAUGUCAGAAAAACCCGGAUAAUCAUUAUAAACUUAAUCGAUAAAACUAAAACUAACAUAACACACAACAAUCAAUCCAGAUCUGGCACGCUAACAUAUAUAUACAAAUUACAACGAAAAAAACAGUUGAUCAUCAAAAUCAGUAGUAUAAGCACAUUUAAACAAGAUUUAUCAUCUAAAAAACAACUUGAAAAAGAAUAACAAAUCACAUGUACGUACAAAGAUCUCAUAUUAAUCAACACAAUCCAAAAAUAAUUUAGUCUACUAAACGAUUAAAACAUGUACAAUGAUCCACCAUGUAUAUCAAACAGUUACAAAUCAAUCAAACAUUACAAUAAACACGUAUAAUCAAGAGCAUACAUGCGUUAUACGGAGACAAAAAAGGAUAAAACACAAUAACAUGUGAUAAGUCAACAAAUAUAAAUGACAAUACAUGUAUAAUUGAAGAGAGAGAUAAGAAGUACUGACCUAAUCGGAGAGAUAGAGCAAGAUCACAGAGAAAUUUCUGGCUUGCAAGGUGCAAAUGCUUUCGAUCUAUUCACAAUCAAAGUUUUAAAUACAUCACAACUUAACAUUCGCCGGAGAAAAGAACGAUGGCCGGAGUCGAAAUGCUUCGAGAGAUUUAAAAUAUAUUAACAUCAAAAUUUGGAAUAUCCAAGAAACAAAACAAAACAAGUAUCCAUCAAUUCAUAGAAUUACCUAAUGUGUAAAUUAAUAAUUUAAAGAAUAACUUACCGAUUUGAAUUAGAUAAAGUCGCGAUCCCAAGUAUUUUUGCACGAUAUCCAUAUUUAUAAACAAUGCAACACUCUGAAUUUAAUUUGUAUAAUUUUGUUGGUGACAACGUUCGUUGUUAUAGGUGUAUUUAUCUAUUCAGAGUAUAAAAUUUUCAGAUGAGAAGAUGAGAUGGGAGAAAGGAGGAAUUAUGAGAGGCAGCCACGGAUGAAAUAGGGUAAAAGAUGGUACAAUAUUUAUAGGAAAAUUAUGUAUGAAAUAAUAUGAAAAAAGCCCAUUUUAAAAGCAUAUAGGCCCAAUCUUUUUUUUUGACAGACAUAUAGGCCCAAUCUGGAUGAACAAAAUUUUAUAAUUACCAUCAAAAAAUUAUAAUAACUAACUUUUUGAAUAAUUAUGGGCUUUAAUUGUACCUACUUGUAAUAAAUUUAUAAUAUAAGUAACUAGUCAAUACAAUUGUAUUUGGUGAUGACAUUAUAAUAUAUUUUUUUUGUAAAUUUCUAAAAACAUAUUUAUCAAAUUUAUAAUUUAAUCAAAAACUCAAUGAAAAAUUAUAGAUAAUACAAUAUAUAAAUAGAAAAAUAAUAAUUUAUUAAUGAAGUUUUUCACAAAUACCCGAUUUUCGAAAGUCUUUUACAAAAAUACUGUUAUUUUUUUUAAAAAUUUGCAAAUAUAUAUUUUUUAAAUAUAUAAAAAUACCAUAUUUCUGAAACUUCUUUACAAAAAUACGAAGUUUGCACUUAUAAUCGUAUCUGUAAUCACAAAUGCAACUUAAAAAACUAUUGAUUUUUUAUAUAUAUACACACACACACAAAUAUAUAUACAUAUAUAUAUAUAUAUAUAUAUAUAUAUAUAUAUAUAUAUAUAUAUAUUGACGAAAAGCUAAAAGUUCGAUAAAAUACUGAAACCUAGUGGGGACAAACCCUGAACUAUCAAUUACAACCUAAUUGUGAAACAAAUAACGGACUAGCAAACAAUCACUUUGUUUCCAGACCCUUAACACAUAGAAUAUUUAAAUUCUUUAAUCUAAGAAGUAUCACAAUUGUAUCUCUGGUAAUCCAACCUACAUCACCUUUGAACAUAGUAGCAUCGCAAUUGGCAUUGAGAUAAGCAUCAUCUUCAACAUGAACAAUUUUCCACCGUGAAAGGUAAACUCUUGCGAUAUUCGCCACCGUACCAUAUUUGAUGCGAGUCUUACGGAUCGCCCAAAAUACAAUAUAAGCCAUUAUUAGAAAAAUCACCAACACCCUUAACAAAUCACACAAAACAUCAACAUUCCAUUAGAAGCGUAACGUCUGAUGAUGUAGGAUUGUUAACAAACUCCUCGCCCAAGUAAAUCUGCAAAAGAAACAAUGGUGUUUACAAAUCAUAUUGAUCCAAUGCUUAAUGUCCUCAACACAGAACUAAAAAUGAAAAACUAUGUCUUUUGGCAUGAUUUGGUUUGCGAGACUAGCUACUAGCAUUAAGUAUACUUAAAAUUUAAAACUGUGCUAAAUCUGUUGAGGCAUGCAAGUAUACUAGCGUUAUUUUCAGUUGUAUUCCAAACUAUAAAAGAAUAUGUUUUACUUCUGUUCCAGUUUAGUUCAGCUAUUCCUCAUGGAAAUAAACUAUUUUUGAUUCGUAAGGAUUUUGUCCUUUUUAUUCAUUGCUAUUCGUGCUAAACUGUUUUGGACUCUUUUCAUGACUUCCAAAAAUUAUUUUAAAAUCUGUUUUGAGAUAUUCAAAUAUUUGUGCUCCGAUUUUGAAAGAUUAUACAAAUUAUGAUUUGUUCGGCUUAUUUAAAAUAUCUGUAUCGUGUGAUUUUUAAAUUGUGAAAACUAUUUUAUUUAUGUGAACCCUUAGAGAUAUAGGGUAUACCGAGUUACCCAGCUGUAGGGGUACUACAGCCAUGUCUUUGCGGCACCAUUGACAUGACACUUCCGUGACAGUGUGAUUGGUCACGGCGUAUCCUUCUGUUAGCUCUUGGGAGGAGCUUUGGCCAUUUUGAUUAUAUGUUCAGGAUACGUGGGUGCACCCAGUUCAGUUUUGAUAUGAUUUGUGAUUUGACGGUGACGUUGUAUAUGCCGUACACGUUAUCCGAUUUGUUGCACACAUUAGGUACCCUAUGAUGUGUGUAUUUGUAUAUGUUUUGAUCUCGGUAUGAAAUAUCCUAACCCUCGUUGCAUCAGCCUAUUUAUUUUAAAAAUUAUUGUUUUAUAUGAUGGUCAAAAUAUUUUUAAAUGUUUCUUGUUUUGUAAAUGCUUCCAAUCCGUACUGGGCAUUUGGCUCAUGCCGUAUUCUUCUUCUGGCAGGUUCUUAGGGGGAUCCGGGACUGUGUGAUGGAGAGCUACCCUCGGUUACAGUGACUUAGAAUUAUGGACUUUUAGUGUUAUUAAGAAUUUAUGGUUAGUGAUUCUAUUUACUCAAGUUUGGAACAUAUUAGUACUGUGUUUGCAGAUUUUGGAUUUGUAGGUAACCUCUCGUCUUAAUUUAAGAUGGGGUGUUACAAAAAGCAAUCAAGCUAAUAUUUAGAGUAAACUAAAAAAGAGCAGCUAGUCUAAUAUAUACUUCAAUGAUGCAAUUAGUAGAAACAAUCACAAUACCAAACAAUUAACAAAUGGACUCACCGAUGAGUUUGAGGAUGUAGGACUAGUGUCUACUGGAAAAAGGGAGCCCGCUUAAAUUUACCGCUGUUUUUAAUGAAAAUUGAUUUUUGGUCUUCAGGUGAACAAGAGCCAGUGCAAAUGUGCAAUCCUCCGCUUGAUAUACCACUUGCAAUACUAGGGGGUGUUUGGAUUAAGGUUGGGAAUGGGAAUCGGGAAUGAGAAUGAGAAUGGUAUGAUAACCCAAGGGAUAGGAGAAGAGUAUCAUUUAACCACCCAAAAGAAUUGGGGUUCCCAUUCCAUAACACCAAAUAACUAAUCCAAACACUUGUCAUGGGAUUAAGGUUCCGAUUCCCAUUAACCGGGCUCAUUAUCGCUUUACUGCUGCAUAUAUUGUCUACAAUUAUAGAGAUUUUCCUGUCCUAUUCUUAUUACAUUAAGUAUCUUUAGGGUUAGAACAAACAUAUAUAGUACAGAAGUAGUGGCUAAAAUGUGAGAAACAUAAUGUCAUGGAAUGUAAGACGCAUAAUGUACUCUACUCUAAUUUUUAUAUAUAGUUUCCAGUACAGGUAGGAGAAAAAUACUUGAUUAAUUAAGGAAUUCUCCGCCUUCAAGUUUCUGAACUCCUCCAGCGCUGAUAAAGUUCACAACAUUAUCCUAUGAAUUAGUACAAAGAGCAGUGAUAAUACUGAAACCGAGAAAAAUGUAAAUUUCUAUAUACCAAUUAACAAACAUGCACAAGUAUACCUCGUACGUUUUUUGUGGGCACAUAAAGAACGAAUGCUGCAUUUUGUUGCAUAUGUUUUAUAGAUGUGUAAUACAAAGAAAAUACCAUUUGUACAAACUAAAAAUCAAUUUUUUCCAAAAUGAAAUAUAUUACUUGUUGUGAAAGAAAAAGUUACAUGAACACAUUAGUACCAACUUACACUACUGAGACAUGUUUCAUUUUGCCCUGUAACCAGGGGCGGACCUAAGUAGAGCCCAGCACCCCCCUUGGCCCUCCCUGGAAUUCAGACAGUAUUACAACUAUAUAUGAUAUGCAGAACAUACAUUUGUUAGUUGGUGUUGUCUUGAGCCAAUUUAUAACUAUAGCUAGUAUAAUUAUAAUCUAUAAACUGAUCAUUUAUGAUAUUUAGUUAUUAAAAAUGUAUUCUUUAUCAAACUAUAAAAUCGCAAACAAAUAUAAAUUUCUUUAUUCGUUAACUUUUUUUAGAAAAAUUACAGAUAAGUUAUUUUGGCCCACCCUGGAUAAAAAGUCUGGGUCCGCCACUGCCUGUAACCAAUGCUAGAAAUUUGAUCGCUACUACGGUUAUGAUUUAUCGGACAACCCUAGCUAAAAAAGGUACUUUGGACACAUUUCGUAUGGUAUUUUCUGUAAUCUAAGCCUAAUUUUCACUGUGCUCAAUAUUGUAAGACAUUUUAGGUGAGCAUGGAUUGAGAAGAGGCAAUGCAAAUGCAAAAUGAAUAUAUUGUCCCGGGUGCUAGCUGCAAUUAGUGGUGCGUACCCGAAGGGUAGCGGCUGCGGGUUUCUACGUUAAAAAAUAAAAAUAAAUUAUGUGUAACUAAUAACAUUUUAAGCUUAGUGUGCAAGUUCUAAAAAAAUGGUAUAUAGUUGUUAGUACCUUAGUAAUGUUAUGACAGGUUGCAAAGCUCCUGCCUCAAGAGCCAUUUUUAUGUUUCGAGGGGACAAGUUGAUGACAUGCUCAAGCACGCUAACCUAUCAAAACCGCCAACUACUUUUUAAUUUGAAAGCUCUGAGCUGAAUUUGAAGCUAGGAUUUAUAAACUGAAAUGUAUACCACAAAAUUUCAGGCACCUAAAAUUUCACCCUCCAACUUACCGCUUCUUUCUGUAUGGUAACAUCCUCAGAGCAAAGCAACAAAGUAAGGGCAGGUAAAGCAUUGCAUUCUACAAUCUGAAAAAUAAGGAGAGAAUUCAAAUUUACAAACCUGAUUUUUGUUUUCAUGAUUUUCAAAAGACAAAGUUCUUAACGCCCCAGCAACUGCUCUCUGCACCUUCAAAUCAGGGAACUCAAGCAGUUCAACAAUCGGAGGGAUACCGCCUUCAUUCCUGUUAUAAGCAAAAAUGUCAAAAUUACAUAGUAACCUUAGUUGCAUCUCCUAGGCAGAGUAGACAAACCUGGCGCGUGAUUGAGUGCUGAUAUUAUCCUGAGCAAGAAUCUUGAUUGCAUCAGCUAGCUGCUCUCCUCAUAGCACCAAUGAUUGCCGGAGUGACAAACUGCAGUACAAAUCUAUAUAACUAAAUCACAAUGCUGACCACUCUCUAUAACAUGGUACAGAAAUAGAGGGCCAGAAAAAAAAAUGCAGCACAAGGUCCAUUAAAGAGAUAGAUCUUAAAUUAAAAAAAUGAUCACAAAUCAACAAUUAGUAAAUAUGCAAGGUAUUGAAUAGUUGCUAAUUCAAAGUAAACAGCCGUUUUCACAUUUUCCUAUCCUACUGAUUAUAUAAUAAAAUUGUAACUUUUUAGUCUUUGUAAUAAAAGUAGUGUAAUUUUUACUUUCAAUACCGCGAGUAAAAGGUUACACUUUUAUCUUAUAAUCACUAUGGCAUUAGUGACGAAUAUUAAAUGUAGACAAUAGGAAAAUUAAGGUAGAAUAUAUAAGAUAAAAAUGGAAAAUAGUCGCGCAUCGCAAGAGCUUGAUUCACAUAAUAAUGAUGUGCGCGGGAUGAUACACAUUUGGGUAGAUUUUUACGGUCACUAUUGUUAGAAGAGCUUUUUUCUAGCAAGCUCUUUUCACACUUUCUGGGAUCGGUGUCGUGCAUGGUGAAAUCAAGCUGUGUGUAUGAGAGGAGAUAAUAGUGAGGAGUAUUAUGGUAAAGAGGUGAGUGAUUAUAUUAUUAGUUUCGCAUUAUAUUGUUGCUUAAAAGUUAUCAUUAUAAUCAUCUUAGUCUUUGGAGAUUUUAUAAGAUUUAGUAAUUUAUAUAUGAUAUCCAUAUUAAUUACUCCCAUCCCAUUUUAUGUGAGGUUAUUUGACUUUCACUAAGAUUAAGAAAAAAGAGUAAAAAAGAGUAAAUUUACUUAAAAAGUAGGUAAAGUGGUAGGAAUUAUCAAAAUUUAAUAAUAAAAUUGAGAUAUUGGAGGAAAGUAGUGGGUGUAGUGGUGUAUGUUAAUAAAGAGAGAGUAUAAAUUAGAGAGGUAGUGAGUAUAAUAGUGAAAAGUAGUGUUCAAAAAUACUAAAUAUAAUAUGUUCAUUCUUUUCUGGAUGCUGCAAAAAAAAAAAUAACGGUCAUAUAAAAUGUGAUGGAGGGAGUAUGCAACAAAAUAAUAUCUACUNUAUAUAUAUAUAUAUUUCCACUCUAUUCUUGUGGAACACUCUUAACGAGUAAUCUAAAUUAAUACUGUCCUUCACUACUGUACGUAAAUAAGUUAUUUUUGACGGUAAAUCAUUAUCAUUCCGAUAAAAAUAUUGUUUUGAAAUAAAACUUCUAUUUCACGUGGCUAGGACCCACCUCCAGCCUUAAAUCAGAGGCUCCACAUGUAUAAUUGAUUAAUUAUAUAAUUAAUUAGAAUAUAUAAAUAGAUAAUUACAUGUAGGCCCCACAUUAAUUAAUUAAUUAAUUCUUUAUCCAUAAGCAAAGGUAACACUAAAGUAAUGUUACUUUUGUUUAAUUUAAUGUUUGUGUAUGGCUCUAAUGUGAGGUCUAAAGUAACAGUAUUUUGAGUGUCUUAUUUGCCCAUAUAUGACGGAAUAUCAUAAAUGUUUAUUCAAGAAAAAGUUUUAUAAGAGCAUCACACCAGUUAUAAGUUAUUAUACAAUUGAAGUCAAAAUAUUAUUUUGGUUUGUCGGUUAAUUUUAACUAAACACAUUUGUACAAUACAGAUUUUAAUAUAUUAAUUAUGAUAUAUGUAUUAUUGUGAGUGAUUUUGAUGCGAAGUCUAGCCUACUUGAGAUAAAAUGUCAUAAAAUUACACAUAAUAAUCCAGCAAAAUCCACAAUGUCAUAUAGUUCAAAGAAAUCCUUUAAUUUUUGAAUACCAUUUAAAGAAUCAUAAUUGAAUACUACUAGAUUUUUAAUUACACAUUUUAUAAAAUCCAGAUUUAAGGAUUUCAAAGGAUCCGAACUCCAAUCCUAAUAUUAAAAUAUUGAAUAUUGUCACACGUGUCUAUUUUACUAGUUAAUAUUUUUUUAUAUAAGUUUGAAUUAUUAAUUUUUUUUAAUAGAUUGCUAAUAGGACUUGAAUUUUUAAUCUUUCAAAAAAAAUUCUUAAAUAUCAUAAGAUUAAAUAUUGUGUAAUGUGAAAUCUAACAAUUCUAAUUUAUUAAAUAUAUAUGAGAUCUAACGGCUAUAAAUUAUCAUACCAAAUUAUAAAUCAACGGACAAAAUUUUUGUAUGUUUGGGUUUAAGAAAAUAUAAUAUAAAUAUAUAGGCUAAUUAUUAGGUAGAAACCAAUUAUUAAUUUAAAUAGGAAACUAGUCCCACAAUUAAUGUGACAAUUCUAGAAAUCACUCCUUGAUAUAAUCAGCCCUCUCAUCUUUUUCUUCGUUUUUUUUAAGAAUAUCAGCCCUCUCAUCUUAUGAGCAGGCCAAAAAUGUAUUUAUGUUUGUAUGAAAAUAAUUAAGAAUCAUGCAAGCAAAAGCCAGAAGACAAAGAUUUGUGAGUUUCUGACAGGGCCGAUACCAACUAAUUUCCUGAGAAUUCUACAAUCAAAUACAGAACAUGUUGUUCACAGUUAUCAUAGCAACGCAAUUAAUUACAUAUGCAGUCACUCCACAAAAUCAACAAAAGUAAUAGAAUUUUUUACAUUAAAAUUAGAAUAAGGUUUUUAGUGCACGGCCAAAACUUCCUAUUUUAAUUCUGAUGGUCUUGGAGGAACAAACCAGCGUAAAUAAAUUGUUGUUCACUAACAGGAAUGUUGGUGCUAAUAGAGAUACAAUAAUUUGGACAUCACUGAUCACGGUUAAUUUUGGUCACAUUUAGACAGGGAGCCUCAUUUUGUGACAGUAAUGGGUGAUGAUUAACACUCCGGGAUUUGUCUAAGCUACCUGCAGCACCAUAGAGAAGGAAGUCUUUUAUAGACUCCGAGUGUGUGUGCAAGUAUAAUCAACGAGCUAGUUUCAUAUAAAUCCUGCAAGUUUAGAAACUUACCCAUGUGUCCUUGAUAUUUUGGAGCAUUUUCUUCAUUAUUUUAUGCAAUUAUAAACAUUUCACAAAUAUAUUUAACUAUCUAUAAAAUAUUAUUACUUUGGUGGCUUUAUUUUUCACUGGCAUCAUACAAAACAAGUUUAAGAUUAACCUCAAACAGAACUUCAUUUCCUACACCGCAAAUUGGGAAAACGAGUGCAGGGGAUUGGUAAAAGCUCUUUUGAAUGAGAAUGUCUUGGUCCAAGAAUCAACAACACCAAGCUCCUUCAUGACCCACAUGCCCAAGAAAAAAUCAGCAUCUCGAACUAAAACACAAAGGCACCCAUCCAACAGUGCCAAAACCUUUACUUCUCCGUGAUUCAUUCUCUUAUGUAAAGAAAUUGUACUAAAUUCCUCUAUAGCAAAAUCAAACCUCGUAAUUUUACAAACCUCGUAGUUUGGGGGAUCACAUGCUUCAAUUACCGGAGGCACCACCACAUGAACAAACUCCGGGUAAUUGUAUUCUGCAACUUUUCUCCAAACUUCAUUUAGUAAUUGUUGUUUUUUAGCUUGAAGCAUGUCGUUUCCCGCUCGUAGAGCAUCGUUUUUCUCCUGAAAAAGUUGAGAAGUUAAUUAAAUGUAAGUAUUAACUACAUAAACAAGAAGCAGCCUAACUGUACACUAUCUAAGUUAUCUUAUAAGUACCUAGACUACAUAUAUAUACAAAUAAAGGCACAUUGUACACAUGGUAGGAAAAAGUCGGCAAAAUCAUCAAAAUUUUUUAAUACCUUCAGUUGAGUGAGCUCAUUCUCCAAGUAACACUGGACUUGUUUAAGCUCGUCCAUUCCCAACAUGUCAAAUUGCCCACCCUCGUUGAAGUAGCUAAAUUUAAAUUUAAAAAAAGUAUGUCAAGAGAAAUUAAUUAUGAAAACAAAUAAUUAAUACAACACCAAUACUUAUCUGUAAGUGGCUAUAUAUAUUAAAUUAAACUUAGUCUCACCACCCUGCCCCACACCAAUACUAUAGUCUCUCGUUUACAAGCCCUAAGAAACGGCCUCCUCUUCAAAGACAGCCCUCCCAGUCAAAGCCGCUAAACAACUCAAAACUCCUGCCACCAAAGACCACCGUGCCUCCGCCGCUAAGCCCGUGAUCACAGAACGCAACAGCAAAGUUAAUGGCCGAAACUGCCGUAUCCGCCUGCCAGCCACGUGCGCAGCUCGUGUGUUUCAGCUAACAAGGGAGUUGGGGCACAAAACCGAUGGCCAGACAAUUGAGUACUAAAUUUCGAUUAAGUCUUUAAUUGAUCAGAGUGUGGAGAAUAUGUUGGCAGCUACAUGGAGUACCUUUAGAUCGUCUGCUGAGGAGGAUUGCUGGAGGUGGAGUUCAGUGAAUUGGUGAGAUUUGAGAAACGUGUUGAAUGAUCCUGAUGCACAUUUUAGUUGGCUUAGUGUUUUGAUUGGAAAGCCUAUCAGGAUGUUGGUGUUGAUUUCAGGUGGUAGCCAUCUGAAAAACAAGGGGAUAACUCAAAUAAGUUGUUGCCAUUAACAUUAACAUUAUGGAUAUGAUUGGAUUAUGUAGUACAUCAGCAACAAGAAUUUACAAAAGUGUUUAGGUAUGACAAUAUUUAUAAUUAAAUAAUAAUAUAACCAACGAUAUUUUAUAUGAAUCUUAUAAAAUUAUAAACUUACCCAUGGUUGAAGAAUGUAUAUUUUCUGGAGCAUUUUCUUCAUUAUCUUCAUUAUUUCUGCAAUUAUAAAAUAUUCACAAUUAUACAUAAAUCUUAUAUUAAUCCACAUAUACAUCUGUCAUUAAAAAUAAAAUUCAUUAAUCAUGAUUGCACAUCAAUUGUAAAAUAGUAGUCAUCAAUCAUAGAAAUCAAUAAAUAUAUUACAAAUUCAAGUAUGAAUAUCACUUAACAUUCAAGUGAAAAAUUCAAAUAUAAGCUAACUUAAAAUGGGAAGUAAGAAAAUUAUAUAGUAAUAUACUAGUUUGACCAUCGAUAAAACGAAAAGUAAGACUACUUGACAUUUGAACAUCUAAAAUACGCAUAUAUGUUUCAAACUAGAUAUGAUGAUCCUAAUAGAAUUUGAUCUUAUAUUAAUCCGAAAGAAAUGUUAUUUUGCUGGAAAUUGAGUCGAGGCACAAUCAACCCUUGGAACCGCAACCAGUUCAAUUCUUGCAAAAUCAACAUUAGAUCCAAGCGAAUCAGAUCUGAUCUUAACUGAAACUUAUCAAUAUAUGUUAUAACCAAAAACGAUCCAAUCCAAAUGGAUCCGAUCGAAACCGAUCUGACCCGAAUUAUCAAGUAUACUUACAAGAUCUAAUAGAUUUAAUAGAAAUUGAAAAUAAAAAUAUAACGCGUGCCCGAUUGUACGACUUGAAUGAAAACCAAAUUACAGACGACACACAUAUUAAAUCACAUAAAGAUUUGGAUCAUACAAUAAAACAACGAUCCCAAGUAUUUUUGCACGAUAUCUAUGUUUAUAAACAACACAACGCUCUGAAUUUAAUUUGUAUGAAUUUUGUUGGUGACAACAUUCGUUGUUAUAGGUGUAUUUCUCUAUUCUGAGUAUAAAAUGUUCAGAUGAGGAGAUGAGAUGGGAGAAAGGGGAAAUUAUGGGAGGCGGCUAUGAAUGAAAUAGGGUAAAAGAUGGUACAAUAUUUAUAGGAAAAUUAUGUAUGAAAUAAUAUGAAAAAGGCCCAUUUUAAAAACAUAUAGGCCCAAUCCGGAUGAACAAAAUUUUAUAAUUGCGAUCAAAAAAUUAUACUUUGGUGGCUUUAUUUUUUACGGAAUAAUACAAAACAAGUUUAAGAUUAACCUCGAACAAAACUUCAUUGCCUGCACUGCAAAUUGGGAAAACGAAUGCAGGCCGGGGAUUGGUACAAGCUCUGUUGGAUGAGAAAGUCUUGGUCCAAGAAUCAACAACACCAAGCUCCUUCAUGACCCACAUUCGGAAAGAAAAAUCAGCAUCUGUGAAUAAAACACUAAGGUACCAGGCCCUCUGGAUCCUCCUCCGAGAGAGCAUCUCUGCAGACUUCUGCUGUUGGAAGUAUCAGGCUCUUCGAAGUUCCCGACUUAUUAGGGCCUUCUGUUGCAACAGAAUUAAAUUUUCUCAUAUAUGAUAAUGAGUGGAUAAUAUAUCAUUCACCCGGUCUUAGAAUUUAAUUUGAUAUCAUAACUUAUGUCAUAUAUGAUAAUGAAGAGAUUAUGUAUCGCUUUAUUAUAUAUAUGACCACCACAUCUUAGUUAGUUGGACAAAAUUUUAUAUUACAAAAACCCAAAAUUUAGAAAAUUAUCAGAUUAUUUUUUUUGUGGUUCAUGAGGAAGAGGAACAAGAUCCAGUAAUUCCUCCUUUAUGUGAUCUUUGUCUAUUGUUUUUGUUGUCUUUGUCAUUUGUUUAGUCACGAAUGUAUAUAUAUUUAUUAUUAUAAUUAAAAAAAUUAAGAGACGCAAACACAUAUAUAUUUUGUUAGUUAUAUACUAUAUCAAAUUUACAGAUAAUGUAGACUUUUUAUCGAGGACUUAUCAUUUAAAUUUAAAAAUAUUUCUAAAAAAACAAAUUUAUCAAUGAAAUGUUUGAUUUGACUAAAUAUACUCGAUCAAAUUAAUCAAUCAUAUAAACGAAAUUAAAUAUAUUACGAUGUAGUCUUAGUGUAUAUAUUUCAAUUUUUUUGGAAGUAAUUUUGUUUUAUUUUAAAAGAUGUAUAUGACACAUAUCCUGCCAUAUGCCGGCCUAUGUUACUCAGACUCGGGUUCGGAGUGUCCGACACGACACAUAUCCGAGUGUCAGAUUCGUUAAUCUCGAAAAUUUAGGACACGGAGACACCGUCCAAAUUUCAGACUCGGGUACGGGGACACGACAAAUUUUAAAUAUUAAUUAUCUUUUAUAUGUUAUAAGUAAAUAGAAAUAUAUUUUUAUUCAUUAUUUUUUUAUUUAAAAUAAUUAAAAUAAACAAUUUAUUUGGAAAAUAAUUGUCACGUGAAAAGUAAACCCAUUUUCUUAAAAAAGAAAAAAGUAAACCCAUAUUAACAGUACAGACUUGAUGUCAGCUGGUUCCUUUUAUAAUAUUCAAAAUGGAUAUGCAUCCAAAUGAAAGGUUUCGAGUUCUACUAUUUUAGAUAAUUUUGUUGGAUUUUUAAAAUUUUAUCAACUAUUUAUCCCUAAUACACAUUCAAAUAGAGAGCAACAUAGGCAAAUACUUAACAAAAUACAUAGCACUAUACAGAAGCAUAAACAGAGGCAAAAAAAGGGCACAAAAUUUAAAGUUUCAAUCAAAUACACCAUCGAACAGAGCAACAUAGUAGAUACAUAGCACCAUAAAUAAGACACAAAAUCGAACAAAAAAACAUAUUAGAUACACAGCAACAUUGAUAACUCUCCAACCUAACCCUAAUCAAACAAAUUAAGAUACAAAAUCAGAACACAGAGAAGAACACAAACCAAGAUAAAAAACCCUAAAAAGAAAUGAAUUUUAAGACACAAAAUAUCAAACGAAUUUUAAGACACAAAAUAUCAACAGAAAGCUCUAAUCGAAAUAUUAAGACAUGCAUUAGGACAAAGAUACGAAUAUUACCUGAUUGAUUUGAAGAUUUGCAGCCUGAGAGAGGAGAGGAGAGAGCAGCGUGAGAGAGGAGAGGAGAGAGCAGCGUGAGAGAGGAGAGGAGCCCGGUGAGAGUGGAGAGAGCCGGUGAGUGAGGAGAGGAGAGAGCACACUGAGAGAGGAAAGUGGAGUGGAGUGAAAUUGUAAUUUUGGGGGUUUAUUUUGGGGGUUUAUUUCAUUGUACCCGCGAACAUAAAAUUAAAGAGCCCACCUAUUUUUUUGGUACCAAUUUCACCAAAAUGUUGCAAACUAUUGUGACACUAAUAAAAAUGUUACAAUUGGUAUCACAAUUUUAAAAUCUGUGAAAAAAUUACCAUGCGUGCAACACUUUUCAGUUUAGAUAACAUUUUCAGAAAAUGUUGCAACUGCAUAGCUAUUUUUUCCCCAUAGCAACAUUUUUAGCAACAUUUUUGACUUUUGUCAUUGCAACAGGCCAAAUAUGGUGUAGUGUAAUUUUAUAAUUGUUUUAUUUGAUUCAAAUAAAAAUAAAUAAUUGAUAAAAUUUUAAAAAACUAAUAAUAUUAGUUAAAAUAGUAGAACUCGGAACUUUUCAUUUGGAUGUAAUAUCAUUCAUAACAAAUGUGCAAAACUCAAUACAUAAUACUUUUAGAAUUCGACUAACGAUAAAAUGAUAGUCAUGAUACAGAUUUUUAAAUGAGUAACUCAUUUGAAUCACUUUUUCAAUCAGUGACCAAUUUGAGUCAUCGGACUGCAAUGAGUCACCUGAUUGAUAUUUAACCCUAAUAUUGUAUAGAGUACGCUUCGUUUAUACACACACAUAUACAUCCACAUCGUCUUCUUCAUUCCAUUUUUCUUUUCAUCUCCUUCGGACUUCUUCUUCUUCUUCUUCUUCUUGAUCUUUAAUGUCAUCUCGCCUCUCCUCAAAACGUGACUUAUCUCUGACGAGUUUUGAUUUAAAUUGCUCCGACGACCUUUAACUUUUCCGGCGACGGAGAAGAAGUCUCGGGUUUUCAAUGGACGAAUCCGCCCCAUAUCCCGUGUCGUGUCUUGUCGACACGGGUACGGUCGCCAACUCCGGUGACUCAGAGUAACACAGAUGCCGGUUAUUUUGGCAAAGGAAGCCAUAUGGCGGAAUGAGAAUCUCCUCAUACCUAGCAGUGCAGUCUACAUGCAUUUUUCUAAUUUCUUAUAAUCAGGCACUAAUUUUGGUGGGUUUAUUUUUCACGGAAUAAUACAAAACAAGUUUAAGAUUAACCUCGAACAAAACUUCAUUUCUUGCACUGCAAAUUGGGAAAACAGAAUUAAAUUUUCUCAUAUAUGAUAAUGAGUGGAUAAUAUAUCAUUCACCCAGUCUUAGAAUUUAAUUUGAUAUCAUAACUUAUGUCAUAUAUGAUAAUGAAGGGAUUAUGUAUCGGUUUAUUAUAUAUAUGACCACUACAUCUUAGUUAGUUGGACAAAACUUUAUAUUACAAAAACUCAAAAUUUAGAAAGUUAUCAGAAUUUUUUUUUUGUGGUUCAUGAGGAAGAGGAACAAGAUCCAGUAAUUCCUCCUUUAUGUGAUCUUUGUCAAUUGUUUUGUCAUCUUUGUCAUUUGUUUAGUCACGAAUGUAUAUAUAUUUAUUAGUUCUAUGGAGACCGUAAUUUUAUCGAAGACCUCGGAGACCAUGUAUGUUCAGCAAUCAAAACACUAUAAAAUACUUUAUUUUGUAAAAUAUGUUCUACAAAUAUCAUAUAUUCUUUAAAAUUGUUAAAGAUCAUCUAUGUUUAAUAAGUAGAUAAUGUAUGUUCUGCAAGUUGAACAAAUGUUCUGCAAACUAAACAUAUUUCAUAGAACAAAACAUUUUGUAAUGUUCCACAUGUGAAACUUAUAUGAUAUUCAAGAUUUUAAAUGAAAUAAUGAUUUCGUAGAACAUGAUUUGCAAAACUAUACGUUUUGCAAUGUUUUUAUGAAAUAUUUAACUUGCAGAACAUAGGUGGUCUCCAGGUUUUCAGAAAAAAUGUGGUCUCCAUUGAACUUAACUCUUAUUAUUAUAAUUAAAAAAAUUAAGAGACACAAACACACAUAUAUUUGUUAAUUAUAUACUAUAUAAAAUUUACAGAUAAUUUAGACUUUUUAUCGAGGACUUAUCAUUAUUUAAAUAUAUUUCUAAAAAAGCAAACUUAUCAAUAAAAUGUUUGAUUUGACUAAAUAUACUCGAUCAAAUUAAUCAAUCAUAUACACGAAAUUGAAUAUAUUACGAUGUAGUCUUAGUGUAUAUAUUUCAAUUUUUUUAGAAGUAUUUUUGUUUUAUUUUAAAAGAUGUAUAUCCAUCAAUCGAUUUGACCAUAUAUAUUCAAUCUUCCGGAAGUGAAUAUACAAUCAGAUAUAUAAUUAAGAAAGUAUCUAAACAUGUAACAUAAAUAAAUUGUUAAUUAAUCAACAAUUGGUGCCUAUUAAAUAAUAUAUAUAAUUUAGGAUUAUAUAUUAAGACUUAAGUUCUAUGGAGUACAAAAAAAAUUGGAGUAUUGGAGUACAAAGUUUGAUAAAAUGUAAUCUAGUCAUCUAAAUUUCAAUUUUUUUUGUCUAAUAAUAUUUUUAAAUAUUUGACAACCUGCAUAUUAUGUUCUGCAACAUAAACAUCAUGAUCAAAUGGAAGAAUAAUUACUUUUAUAAAUCAUAGGACUCUCUGUUCUGCAAUAUAACUAAUAAGCAGAACAAUAAUCUUAAUACUUGUUAAAGUUGAAAGAUAUUAAUGAUUAAUUGACAAUUAUGUGCAAGACAACUUAUAAAUGAUAGAUUAUAUCAAAAUUUGGAUAAUCAAAGAUAUUAUAUAGGAUCAAACUAAAAUAUUAUGAUUUGUACUCCAAUACUCCAAUGUUUUUAUGUACUCCAUAGAACUUAACUCUAUAUAUUAAUAUUGUUUUAUAUUAGUUUCAUGUCAUUUCAAAUCAAAAUAAUCUCGUGUAGGCUUAUACUUCUAUUUAAUAAAAUAAUAUAUAAUAUAUAUUAUAAAUGAGAUCAUAUUAUAUGUGUGUGUGUUGUUGAAAUAAUAAAUUUACUAUCAAUUUUGUUCACCAAUAUUAAUUGGGGGGAGGGGGGGCUAACAAAUAUGAUAGAGACAUAAAACUGUUACAAGCGGAAGCACUAGCCGAAGAGCUUAAGAUUUAGGUCUAGUGCAUUCUUUUCUUGGUCCUCAUUGUCGUUGUCAAGCACUAUAGGAUGAUUGCUGCUUGAAUCGCUUGAUCCAACAGGAGGAGCAGUCGGUGCAACAGAAGCCCUAAUAAGUCGGGAACUUCGAAGAGCCUCAUACUUCCAGUGGCAGGGGUCUGCAGAGGGGCUGGUGGAGAAGGAGCCAGAGAGGCAGAUACAAGAUGAUACCCACGGACCGGUCCAAAAGAAAUGAGAGCCGCUGAUGCAGGUGGAUUAGCCGGAGUGGGUGGUGGAAGACGAGAUAAAAAAGAGUAAGAUGAUCCCACCAUUGUCCCCGGCGGAUUAGUGGCGGACAACCCUAAAAAGGGUUGACCGAUCCGCUACGGGUCAUGGAUAAAGGAUUUUGACGGUGGGUUUUAGCGCUCCUCCGCCUUUUUGCCGGCCGUCCCUCCCUGUGGGCAUUUUGGUAUCCUCGUGGUAUGAAGGAUGUAUAUUUUGUGGAGCAUUUUCUUCAUUAUUUCUGCAAUUAUAAAAUAUUAGCAAUUAUACAUAAAUCUUAUAUUAAUCCAAAUAGACAUCUAUCAUUAAAAAUAAAAUUCAUCAUGAUUGCCCAUCAAUUAUAAAAUAAUAGUCAUCAGUCAUAGAAAUCAAUUAAAUAUAUUACAAAUUCAAGUAUGAAUAUUACUUAACAUUCAAGUGAAAUAUUCAAAUAUAAGCUAACUUAAAAUGAGAAGUAAAAAAAUUAUAUAAUAAUAUACUAAUUUGACCAUCGAUAAAAUGAAAAGUAAGACUACUUGACAUUUGAACAUCUAAAAUACACAUAUAUGUUUCAAACUAGAUAUGUUGAUCCUAAUAGAAUUUGAUCUUAUAUUAAUCCGAAAAAUUUCUUAUUUUGCUGGAAUUUGAGUCGAGGCACAAUCGAUCCUUGGAACCGCAACCAGUUCGAUUUAUGCAAAAUCAACAUUAGAUCUAAGCGAAUUAGAUCUGACCUUAACAGAAACUUAUCAAUAUAUGUUAUAACCAAAAACGAUCCAAUCCAAAUGGAUCCGAUCAAAACCGAUCUGAUCCGAAUUAUCAAGUAUACUUACAAGAUCUAAUAUAUUUUAUAAAAAUUGAAAAUAAAAAUAUAACUCAUGCCCGAUUGUACGACUUGAUUGAAAACCAUAUUACAGACACACAAAUUUAAUAACAUACAAAUUUGGAUCAUACAAUCAAAAUUUAUUAACAUAUAUUAACAUCAAUUCAUAAAAUUUGGGUUCAAAUUCGAAAUUUAUACAAAAUACAUGUAUAUUUAAAAAGCUUGAGAUAUUAAAUAUAUUAACAUCAAAAUUUGAAAUAUCCAAGAGACAAAACAAGUAUCCAUCAAUUCAUAAAAUUACCUAAUAUGUAAAUUAAUAAUUUAAAUAAUAACUUCCAAUUUGAAUUAGAUAAAGUCGCGAUCCCAAGUAUUUUUGCACGAUAUCCAUGUUUAUAAACAACGCAACGCUCUGAAUUUAAUUUGUAUGAAUUUUGUUGGUGACAUCGUUCGUUGUUAUGGGUGUAUUUCUCUAUUCUGAGUAUAAAAUUUUCAGAUGAGGAGAUGAGAUGGAGAAAAGAGAAAUUAUGAGAGGCGGCUAUGAAUGAAAUAGGGUAAAAGAUGGUACAAUAUUUAUAGGAAAAUUAUGUAUGAAAUAAUAUGAAAAAGGCCCAUUUUAAAAACAUAUAAGCCCAAUUCCGGAUGAACAAAAUUUUAUAAUUACCAUCAAAAAAUUAUAAUCACUAACUUUUAAAAUAAUUAUGGGUUUUAAUUGUACCAAGUUGUAAUAAAUUUAUAAUAUAAGUAACUAGUCGAUACAAUUGUAUUUGGUGAUGACAUUAUAAUAUUUUAUUUUUGUAUAUUUCUAAAAACAUAUUUAUCAAGUUUAUGAUUGAAUCAAAAACUCAAUGAAAAAUUAUAGAUAAUACUAUAUAUAAAAAGAAAAAUAAUAAUUUAUCAAUGAGGUUUUUCACAAAUACCCGAUUCUCGAAAAACUUUUGCAAAAAUACUAUUUUUUUUAAAAUUUGCAUAUAUAUUUUUUUAAAAUAUAAAAAUACCAUAUUUCUAAAACUUCUUUACAAAAAUACGAUGUUUACACUUAUAACCGUAUCUGUAAUCACAAAUGCAACUUAAAAAACUGUUGAAAUUAUAUAUAUAUAUAUAUAUAUAUAUAUAUAACUUAUAUAAAUUAUAUAUAUAUAUAUAUAUUAUAGUUUUCUGACGAAAAGCUAAAAGUUCAAUAAAAUACUCAAACCUAGUGGGGACAAAACCCCAACUAUCCACUAGAACCUGAUUGUGAAACAAAUAACGGACUAGAAAAUAGUCAUUUUGUUUUCAGAUCCUUUAACACAUACACCUUUGAACAUAGUAGCAUCGUAAUUGACAUUGAGAUAAGCACCAUCCUCAGCCCAAUGUUCACAACUAUAAGUUACAUAAACUGAUAUUGGAAUAACAAUUGUCUCCAACACAUGAAUAAUUUUUCGUCGUGAAAGGUAAACUCUUGCGAUAUUCACCACCGUACCAUAUUUGAUGCGAGUCUUAUGGAUCACCCAAAUUACAAUAUAAGCCAUUAUUAGAAAAAUUACCAAUACCCUUAACAAAGCACACAAAACAUCAACAUUCCCAAAAAAUGGGCACGAUCUUGAUAACAAGGUACUCAAUAAGAAAUCACCCGAAAGGAUUAGAUCUUGAUUUUGAUGAAAGAGAAGAUGCUUGAUCAAUGAAAGAGGAUGAUGGUUGAAGAGUAGAGAAAUGACGGUUGAAACCCUAACUUUGAAAGUCUCACUCUCAAAACUGCAAACCCUAGAAUAAUAUGUUGAAAUUAGAUUUAACUGCAAAGUUGCAACGGCUUUCAUGAGUUCUUCUGCUGAGCGAGUACUAAUAUCAAAAAAGUAACAAAAAACUACUAAAAUCAAAUUAAAAAAGGACAACAACAAAAUGGAUAAAACAAGGACAUUCUGAAAAACCCAUCAAUAAAUUAAGCUAAUUUUCACAUUGCAUAAAGUGAACAACCAAAUUGCAAGACUUUAAUCAAAAUGUGAUGGAGAGAGAUAGAGGGAGAGAGACGGAUAAAGGAAGAGAGGGACAAAGAUAGAGGGAGAGAGGGAGGGAGAGAAAGAGGGGGAGAGAGAGAGAGGGAGAGGGAGGGAGGGAGAGAGAGAGAGAGAUAAAGGGGGAGAGAGAGAGGGAGGGGGGAGAGAGAUUACCUGAAUAGUGGAGGUGGGGUGGGUUGGAGAGGCAGCACAAAAGUAGACAAAGGUCUGGCUCUUGGGUGAGGCCCACUAAUAAGUGAUGGUGCUGCAGAGCUCUUCUUGACACAACAAAGCCCAGAUGAUAUCUGAACAAGAAGAUGAGCUCCCAUUGCUAUGAUUUUACUAUCUAACAAUUCUCAACACCGCUUAAUCCAUGUUUGCCUUUAUAUAUGUGUUCUCACUUUGUCAAAC
This 59207-nucleotide long non-coding RNA is filed under the name Daucus carota (carrot). RNAcentral describes it as "long non-coding RNA (DCAR_LNC002568)". The record is from RNAcentral. Lineage: Eukaryota; Viridiplantae; Streptophyta; Magnoliopsida; Apiales; Apiaceae.